RNAcentral lists this long non-coding RNA (83389 nucleotides) under Eucalyptus grandis. Its description in RNAcentral is "long non-coding RNA (EGRA_LNC003357)". The record is from RNAcentral. Lineage: Eukaryota; Viridiplantae; Streptophyta; Magnoliopsida; Myrtales; Myrtaceae.
CGAUGCAUUUUCGGUGUUAGAAGUGAUGAGAUGCAUUCAAUUGGGGCUUCUCUGUACGCAAGACCAUGCCACAGAUAGACCCAACAUGUUGGCCGUGGUUCUAAUGCUGAAUGGGGAGUCCAAUCUUUCACAGCCAAAGCAACCGACCUAUACAUUUUCACGCUCGCUGGCUCACGAAGUCCCAUCACAAGAAGAAAGCAUCCGGUCCAUGAAUACCAUCACCAUUACUACGGUUGAAGGAAGAUAAAAUUCUCAAAUGCAUUUUCACUAUAAUUCAUCUUUCCAGGGGUUCAGUGUUCACCAAAUUAAGCAGCUUGGAUAUGCAAUAUUUUGUUCAACUUUUAUGUGGAUAUAUGAUGUAAACAUAGAGAUUGUGAGGGAAUCUGAGUUGCUAGCUCCCUAGUAGAACAGUGUUAUGUGGGCAAGGAUGCAGAAAAGUUCAGAACAUAUGUAAGCAGAAGUGUUAGAGCUUUUUUUUUAAAGAGGAUUUGAUAGUUAAAUUUUCGCCUAAAAGAUUAUUCAUGCAUUUGAAAUUUUCAAGGAUCAAAUUCUCUAUCAGAUGACAAAAUUUGACCCCGAGGAAAUACUGCAAUCGCACACCAUUUUGCAUUGACAUUUUUAUCAGCACAUCUCUACAAUUAGAAACUAGGGACAUUGUAGUCUUAGUAUCUUGGCCCCUAUGUCAAGAGAUAGGCUUCACAUAUGCAUUUCAUAAAGAUUAAGUAUCAAAUACAUUAAUAAUGGCAAUGAUCAACCCCUAACUAAAAUCAUUGACAUAGCUUCAUCAUGCAUCCACAUUUCUCUUUGCAUUUAUUUUGCACAUAGUAAUAGAGCAUUAUAAUUUAUCAUAUUAGACUCGGCAGCAAAAACUUUGAUCAACAAAGGUGCUAGAGCUCACAGGCAGAUCGAACCCACACCAGGACUCAACCUUUUUCUUUUUUUAAUUUGUGGCAGCUUCUCCUGCUUGGUUCAAGGCUCAAACUGUUGGAGAAAUCUUUCCAGAAUAUUUUGAAGCUGACAAAACAUUUCUAUCAGUCUAAGUCUGGAUAUCGAUAGUUAAAGUCUCAAGAUUUUAUAGUCUCAAGACUUUGUUAUCUCAAGACUCAAGACUCAAGACUCAAGACUCAAGACUCAAAAUUAUUCUCACUGACAGUCUUUCUAAUCCAGUGUUGAAGGAAAUCCAAAGUCGAGGUUUAUGAUUGAGGAUUUGAUCCUAUCCUCUGGGAUAGAUUCUUUGGUUGGAUAAUCAUUUCGGAUUCUUUAAAUCUUAUCUAAGAUCGAUUGAAGAUCCGAUGGUCGACGAAAUAAUCUUGGAUUAUUCUAUUCUUGGAAACCGAGAUCCUGAUGUAUGGGCGAACAGGAUUGAUGGGCUAUCAUCAGAUUCCUAUAUAGCUCGGAUGAUCUUCUUGAUUGAUUCCGUCCAACGGGUAGAUUGGAGGAAUUCCUUUGGUAAGUGCCAACGGCUAUGAUGGCAUGAAGGAGUAUAAAAGGAAGACGUUCUAGUUGUUUUAAGUGUGUGAACGAUAGAAAAAUUCCAGAGUCUGAAGAUCCUUUGAUUGUUAGUUGAGACUGAGCGAAAUUGUAUACUGAGAGUGUUUAUACUUGGUGACGCCUUGAGCGAGUGUGGUAGAUCAUCUACACCUAGAAAUCAAGGAAGAUCAACACUGUAACAACUCUUUGAUCAUAGUGGAAUCCAGCCAAUCGGCUGUCAGUGCAGAAGAGUGGACGUAGGCUUGAAUCAAGCCGAACCACUAUAAACUGAGUGUUCAAUUCUCUCUUUCCCUUACUCAGUCUUGCGAUUGAAUUUUCAACUGUUGCAAAGUCUCUAAUUGUUUAAAUAUCGUGCAAACAUCGAGAAAUUUUUUGUGUAUACUUAUUCACCCCCCUCUAGGUACUCGUACUAGCUAUCUCAAUUGGUAUCAGAGCCUGUGUUCUUACUUUGUUUGAAGUGUUUUACUUCAGAGUAAAAGAUCCAUGGCUAGUAUGCUAGCACCGGGGCUGAUGGAGGGGCAAAGCAAUACCAGACCUCCCUACUUCGAUGGAAAGGAUUACAACAUCUGGAAGAACAAGAUGAAAGCUUUCCUACGAUCAAAGGAUCCUCUGGAAUGGGACGUAGUGGAAAAAGGAAUCACUCCUGCUGCUGCAUCAAUCACUGAAAGAGGAAAAGAAACCGUUGAAACCAGCGAAAUGUCUCAAGAAGAAAUAAACAAGAGACAAGCACUCGAUGCUAAAGCAAUUUAUUCUUUAUAUUGUGCUUUGUCACCAACUGAAUAUAACAGAAUAUCUUCUUGUGUCACAGCAAAAGAAGUCUGGGACAGGUUACAUAUCACUUAUGAAGGGACAGAUCGAGUGAAGGAGACCAGAAUUAACAUUCUUCUUGGUCAAUAUGAAUCCUUCAAAAUGAAACCAGGAGAAUCUAUAACUGACAUGUUUAGUCGUUUUACAGAUAUUGUCAAUGGUCUUGAGAACCAAGGACAAAAAAUUUCUGAUCCCAUGAAGGUGAACAAGCUUCUACGUGGACUCUCCAAGGAUUGGAAUCAUAUAAAGACUUCAAUAAGAGAGACGCAAAGAAUCAUGCCAUUAUCUGUAGACGAACUGAUUGGAACUCUUCAGUCUUACGAAGUGGAACGAAUUAAUGAAGACGAAGAUCCAAGAGGUAAGAAAUCUAUUGCACUAAAAUCAAAUGAUGAUUCUGAUGAUGCAGAUUCUGAAGAUGAUAUGAAUGAUGAGGAGCUCGCCCUCAUGAUAAGAAGAUUCAGAAAACUGAAUAGAAAAGGCAGAAGGUUCAUCCCAAAGAAACAAAGUUCUCAGAGACAGCAGACCAAGUCUGUUGAUGAUGAGGAACCAAACAAAGAAGUAGUUUGCUUCGAAUGUAAAAAGAAGGGACACAUCAGACCCAACUGUCCUCUUCUGAAAAAGAAAAGAGGAAAAGCUGAGAAAUUUCGAAAAGCUCUUAAAGCCGAAACCUGGAGCGAUACAGAGUGUGAAGAGAGUGAUGAGGAAUAUGCCAACCUGUGUCUAAUGGCGCAAUCAGACUCAGACUCUGGAUCAGACUCAGACAGUGAAUUUGAGGUAAGUAAUUAUAAAAUCCCUGUCAAAGUCUCUAGACAGCGGAUGCUCAAGACACAUGACAGGAGACUCAGAGUGUUUCAUAAAGCUUAUUAAAGUGAAUGGUGGAAAAGUUUCAUUCGGAGGAAAUAGCAAAGGAAGUAUUGUGGGAUUCGGAAUUGCGAAAAUUGGAAAUCUCACAAUAAGCAAUGUCUCUCUAGUGGAAGGACUCAACUACAAUCUACUCAGCAUUAGCCAAUUGUGUGAUACUGGUUACAAGAUCUUCUUUCAAGAAGGCAUUUGUUCUGGAAUUAGCAAAGAUUCGACUCAGUCUUUCAUGGGUCGAAGGCAUGGAAACAUCUACCUCCUUGAUGUAAAGCCAAAUGAAGAACAAUGCUUAAUUUCAAUUCAAGAUGAAGCAAUUCUAUGGCAUAGAAAGCUUGGCCAUAUCAACAAGAAGCAAUUAGCCAAAAUCUCUUCAAAGCAGCUUGUUCGAGGUCUACCUAAACUGCCAUACCAAAAGUCUGACUUAUGUACUCCAUGCAUUCUGGGAAAGCAGGUAAGAAAUUCAUUUAAACAAAUAAAUCAUGUAUCUACUAAUCAUGUAAUACAGUUGCUUCAUAUGGAUCUCUUCGGACCAACAAGAACCCAGAGCAUUGGAGGUAAGAAAUAUUGUCUAGUAAUUGUAGAUGAUUACUCUCGUUUUACCUGGGUAUAUUUUCUAGCAAACAAAUCAGAAACCUUUUCGUACUUUGAAAAGUUUGCUAAAAAGGUUCAAAAUGAAAAAGGAUGUGCUAUUUCUAGUAUAAGAACAGAUCAUGGAAGUGAAUUUGAAAAUCAAGAUUUUACGAGAUUCUGUGAUAAAUCUGGUGUUAAUCACAUGUUCUCCUCUCCGUAUACUCCAGAGCAAAAUGGAGUUGUGGAAAGAAAGAAUAGAUCUCUUCAAGAAAUGGCUAGAACACUUUUAAUUGAAAGUAAAAUUUCUUCACGAUUUUGGGCUGAAGCUGUUUCAACUGCUUGCUAUAUUAUAAAUAGAGUCUUUCUAAGACCUAUUCUUGAUAAAACCCCCUAUGAAUUGUUCAAAGGUAAGAAGCCUAUUGUUUCAUACUUUCAUGUGUUCGGUUGCAAAUGCUUUAUUUUGAAAAAUGCAAAUGAUCGAGUUGGUAAGUUUGAAGAAAGAUCAGAUGAAGGCAUCUUCCUUGGAUAUUCUACAUCAAGCAAAGCCUACAGAGUCUACAACAAAAAAAGCCAGUCUGUGGAAGAAUCAAUGAAUGUCAAAUUCCAAGACUCAGUGCAAGAUGAAUCCAGCCAGACUCAGUACGAAGAGACUGAAUCCGCUCUAGAUCUUCAAAUAUCUACAUCUCAAGAAGCAUCUCAGAUUCUGGAAGUCCAUCAUCAAGACGCUCAUGGAGAAUCAAAUAAAGAAAGAGAUCAUCAACCUGGUAACUGGAAGCACAAAUCCAGUCAUCCCAAAGAUCUUAUUAUUGGCGAACUUAAUGAAGGAAUCCGCACCAGAUCAAAAAGGCAUGAAGAAUCUAGUGCUGUGGCUCUCAUCUCUGAAAUUGAACCAAAAAGCAUAGAAGAAGCUUUAUCUGAUGAAAGCUGGAUCGAAGCUAUGCAAGAAGAGCUUAGACAGUUCAACAUCAAUGAUGUCUGGGAAUUGACAUCUAAACCAAAAGGUAAAACUGUUAUUGGAACCAAAUGGGUAUUCAGGAACAAAAUGAACGAAAAAGGAAAAGUCGUACGAAACAAAGCAAGACUCGUGGCCAAAGGGUAUACGCAAGAAGAAGGAAUAGACUAUGACGAGACUUACGCACCCGUUGCAAGGUUAGAAGCUAUUCGUCUAUUACUUGCGUUUGCUUGUUACAAAAAUUUCAGGUUAUUCCAAAUGGACGUCAAAAGUGCUUUCCUAAAUGGAUUUAUCCAUGAGGAAGUUUAUGUGGAACAACCGCCUGGAUUUGAAGACCCAAAGAAGCCAGACUCAGUCUUCAGACUGAAAAAGGCUCUGUAUGGUCUAAAGCAAGCACCUCGAGCUUGGUACGACAGAUUAAGUAAGUUUUUAUUACAAAAUGGUUUUGUCAAAGGUAAAGUAGAUACUACUUUGUUUAUCCAAAAGGAAAACAAAAACUUUUUACUUGUUCAAAUAUAUGUUGAUGACAUUAUUUUUGGAUCUUCUAAUGAAAGUCUUUGCAAGAAAUUUUCUAAGUCUAUGCAGGAUGAAUUUGAAAUGAGUAUGAUGGGAGAAUUAACAUUCUUUCUUGGACUCCAAGUGAAACAAAUGAAGGAAGGAACUUUCAUCCAUCAAGAAAAAUAUGCGAAUGAUCUUGUCAAAAGGUUUGGAUUGGAAAAAUGCAAAAAGAUCGACAUACCAAUGUCAUGUUCUCAGAAGAUAGACAAGGAUGAAGAAGGGAAGAAAGUAGAUCAAAAGCUGUACAGGAGCAUGAUCGGUUCACUUCUUUAUCUUACUGCUUCUAGACCUGAUAUUUUGUUUAGUGUUUGUAUCUGUGCUAGGUUUCAAUCAGAUCCUAGAGAAUCACAUCUCAUUGCCGUGAAACGAAUUAUCAAAUACGUUGCUUCAUCUUCAAGCAUCGGUCUUUGGUAUCCAAAGAGGGGAGACUUUAAUCUUCUAGGAUACUCAGAUGCAGAUCUGGCCGGUUGCAGAGUCGAUAGAAAGAGCACUUCUGGAACUUGUCAACUACUUGGAAACAGAACGGUGUCUUGGUUUUCGAGGAAACAAAGCACUGUAGCUCUUUCAACGACAGAAGCAGAGUAUGUAGCUCUUGGAAGCUGCUGUUCGCAAAUUCUAUGGAUAAAACAACAGCUACAAGACUUUGGCAUUGAAGACUCAUGCACAGAAAUCAGAUGUGACAACACCAGUGCUAUAAAUCUCACCAAAAAUCCAAUCCUUCAUUCAAGAGCAAAGCAUAUUGAGAUUCGACAUCACUUUAUUAGAGAUCAUAUUCAAAAUGGAGAAAUCUCGAUUCAAUUUGUUGAUUCAAAAAGUCAACUAGCAGACAUAUUCACAAAGCCUUUGGAGAAGAAUCAGUUUGACUUUAUCCGCUCAAGACUCAACAUUUUGAAGCUUGAAGAAGUUAAAGUCUAGAGACUCACCAACUCUAAGACUCUGAUCUCUUAGACUCUAAGUCCUGAGACUCAGACAUUCGUGGAUAAAGACUGUAAGUUGUAUUUCAUCUAAAAGGUACUAAUUGUCAUUUAGCCAAAAAGGUACGAUCUUUUGUUUAAUAAUUUUGGCAGUUAUCGAUUUUGAAAAGAAGUAAUCGUUCACUUUCCUUGCACCGAUUGAACUUCCUUUUUCAAAAACUGAGUUAUAUAUAUAUAGUUUUUUCCUUUCCCCAAUUUUCAAAACCCUAAAAAGCACUCUCCUCUCGAUACUGUUUCUACUCUUUGUUCAUCGUCGAGAAAGUGGUCAUUUUUCUUGGGAAAGCAAGUGAAGGAAUCCUCCAAUAGACAAAGAAAGAUGUCGUCUUCGAGGAAAUCAUCAAGAAUCGCAAACAGGGGACCACAAAGAAUGAAGAAGGGACCGACUCAUUUCGAUCUCACUGAGGAAGAAGACUUAUCUGGUCAGCGACAAAGUCCGAUUCGCUCUCCUCCACGUCAUUCAGCAUCUCCUGCCCCACAAAGUGCAAGUCAUAAUCUGGAAGAAGAGAUAAUCGAGGAUGCCGACCCAGUAAGAGUUCAAAAGCCCUCCUUUUUGUAUAAACUUUAUUGUGCAUUGAAAAGCACAGGUACUCCAUUGAACUACAUAGAUGACUUCCUUAAGGACAAAAAUUAUGGGAAUGAGUAUCUUUUUCUGAAGAAAAUGGAGGAAUGGGGAAUUGCCCCAAAAGGAAAAGCAGAGGAAGCACUUGCGAACAUUCCAAGAGAUCCUCGUAUGCCAAGACAAAAUCUGAUUGACGCGAAUGAUGAUGACAAAAUGUUCCUUGAAUUUGAACCUAGAAUGGGUGUGGCGGCAAAGGCGAAAGGAAAUCGGAUGGAUUUGUUUAAAUCCAAGGAUCAAGAAAAAGUGUAUUACAGUCUGUUGAAAAGAGGGGUAAUCAACCCUAGAAGUGUCGAUUUUGACUUCCUGGAUUCCAUCAACUUGAACCUAAGAGAGAAGUUGAAUUUGCUUCAACUUGAGACUUUCUGCUCUGACUCUACAGACGGGUAUGAUCAUCUGACUGCUUAUUUCUAUUCAAAUCUUAGCUUUUUGGAUGCGAAUAGAAUUUCAUUCAGUGUUUGAGACAAAGUCUAUGUGGUAGAUGUGAAUAUGUUGGCGGACAUAGUUGGAGUUGAACGGGGACGCUAUCUCCCAAUCAAAGUCUCACCUGCUCGAACUACUCUGGAUCUUGUCAAAGAUAGGGAUGUAGAUAAGAAAAUUAUCUAUUCCAAGAUGAAUGCUAUCAACAUUGUGCUUCACAAGAUUGUGAUCAAUUGUCUCAGACCUAAGUCUACUUCAAAGACUUCUGUGUCUCUUUCUGAAGCAAAGUUGAUGUAUGCGAUCAACUCAGGACGAAAGUUCUCUCUCCCGCACACUAUUCUUUUCCAUAUGUACAGAACAGUGUCCAAAGACAAAGGACAAUUGCCUUAUCCUGGUCUGGUGACCAAGAUCUUCAGACAUCUGAAUAUUGAACUGCCACAUACUUUUUGUGUUCGACCGUGUGAUAAGAUGGUGGUAGGGCUGAAAAUGUUAAUGAAGAUGCGUCUGCAAGAACUCUCUAAGGCAAUGGAGAAAUUCAAAGUGAAAUCUCCAGUCCAGUCUGCUUCAAAAGGAAAAGGAAAGAAGGCAUUUAGUGCUUCUUCGAAAAAGAGGAAAAGAACUCUUAUCCUGGAGGAUGAGGAUGAAGAUGAUGAAGAUCCCACUAUUCCAGCACUGACAAGAACAAGACGUUCUGUGUCUUAUUCGACAGAACUUCAGCAGAGCAGAGAAGAAGAAGAACAGAGAGAGAAGGAGAAAGAAGUUGAGGAAGAAGAAGAAGAAGUAAAAGAACAGUCUGCUGAUAAAUCUGGAGAGAAGGGAAAUCAAGAGAUUGAUCAUCACUCUUCCCCUUUCGAUGUCCUAGAGACAGGGGGAGUUAGCGAGCAAGAGAGGUCUUCACCUCAUGCUGCUGAAGAUCAAAGAAAAUCUCCAGAAGACCCAGAAGAAGUUCAGGUCUCUCAAUUGCCUGAAGAAGAUGAUACGACGAUUCCAAAUCUGCAAGACCGUUCAGAAGCGCCAUCGUCUGCACACACACCUUCUGAGAAAGCCAAUGCCAGUACACAGACGGAUGAUUCUGUAGAUCUUCGUAGUAUCAUGAAUAUUCUUCUGGAAAUGCGUAACCAGAUAUAUAUUCUGGAUUGUGAAAUCCAAGCCUUGAAGCAUGCUGGACAAGCAUCUUCAGUCUCUCUGGAAGAUAAAUACAAAGACCUCGCUCUACAACUUCAAGCCAAUGCCAAGAGAGAAGAGGUAGCUCAUCUGCGAGAAGAUCUGAAGAAGCUCGAAGGAGUAGUCCAGUCCAUUGGGGAUUUCCAGAUCGUGCGCAUUCCCAAGCAGACAUGACUCCUUUCUCACCCUCUUUUUAAUGAUGACAAAAAGGGGGAGAACCAAUUUGAACAAACAUUAUUUUAAAACUUUAUUUGACUUUUGUGUUUAUUUUUUGAGUAUGACUUGAGAACUUGAACUUGAGUGUUAGACUGAAUUGGUUGUGGAUUUUGAUGCUUGACUGGUUGCAUUUAUAUCAAGUAUUGUUACAUGGUAUUACUCAUGAAAGACUAACCAAUUUGCUGUGGAUGCAGAGUCUGGUUGUUUAUUAAUCUUUAUGAGUUAGCCAUAUUGCUUGAGAAAUGUUUUUGCAGGUCAAAGUUGUUCAAAUCUUCAAGAAAGUUUUGUCACCAUCAAAAAGGGGGAGAUUGUUGGAGAAAUCUUUCCAGAAUAUUUUGAAGCUGACAAAACAUUUCUAUCAGUCUAAGUCUGGAUAUCGAUAGUUAAAGUCUCAAGAUGCAGAGUCUGGUUGUUUAUUAAUCUUUAUGAGUUAGCCAUAUUGCUUGAGAAAUGUUUUUGCAGGUCAAAGUUGUUCAAAUCUUCAAGAAAGUUUUGUCACCAUCAAAAAGGGGGAGAUUGUUGGAGAAAUCUUUCCAGAAUAUUUUGAAGCUGACAAAACAUUUCUAUCAGUCUAAGUCUGGAUAUCGAUAGUUAAAGUCUCAAGAUUUUAUAGUCUCAAGACUUUGUUAUCUCAAGACUCAAGACUCAAGACUCAAAAUUAUUCUCACUGACAGUCUUUCUAAUCCAGUGUUGAAGGAAAUCCAAAGUCGAGGUUUAUGAUUGAGGAUUUGAUCCUAUCCUCUGGGAUAGAUUCUUUGGUUGGAUAAUCAUUUCGGAUUCUUUAAAUCUUAUCUAAGAUCGAUUGAAGAUCCGAUGGUCGACGAAAUAAUCUUGGAUUAUUCUAUUCUUGGAAACCGAGAUCCUGAUUGUAUGGGCGAACAGGAUUGAUGGGCUAUCAUCAGAUUCCUUAUAUAGCUCGGAUGAUCUUCUUGAUUGAUUCCGUCCAACGGGUAGAUUGGAGGAAUUCCUUUGGUAAGUGCCAACGGCUAUGAUGGCAUGAAGGAGUAUAAAAGGAAGACGUUCUAGUUGUUUUAAGUGUGUGAUCGAUAGAAAAAUUCCAGAGUCUGAAGAUCCUUUGAUUGUUAGUUGAGACUGAGCGAAAUUGUAUACUGAGAGUGUUUAUACUUGGUGACGCCUUGAGCGAGUGUGGUAGAUCAUCUACACCUAGAAAUCAAGGAAGAUCAACACUGUAACAACUCUUUGAUCAUAGUGGAAUCCAGCCAAUCGGCUGUCAGUGCAGAAGAGUGGACGUAGGCUUGAAUCAAGUCGAACCACUAUAAACUGAGUGUUCAAUUCUCUCUUUCCCUUACUCAGUCUUGCGAUUGAAUUUUUAACUGUUGCAAAUUCUCUAAUUGUUUAAAAUAUCGUGCAAACAUCGAGAAAUUUUUUGUGUAUACCUAUUCACCCCCCUCUAGACACUCUCCAUGUGUACAAUUUCGCUCAGAAUGUAUCGACUAAUAAUCAAGGUGCUUCAGACUUUGGAAUUUCUCUAUCGAUCAUAUUCUCAAAAUAACUAGAAUGUCUUCCUUUUAUACUCCUUCAUGCCAUCAUACCCGUUGGCACUUUCCAAAGGAAUUCCUCCAAUCUACCCGUUGGACGGAAUCAAUCAAGAAGAUUAUUCGAGCUAUUAAAGGAACCUGAUGAUAGCCUAUCAAUCCUGUUCGCCCAUACAAUCAGGAUCUUGGUUUCCAAGAAUAGAACCUUCCAAGAAUACUUCGUCGACCAUCGGAUCUUCAAACGAUCUUGAUUACGAAUGAAAGAAUCCGUUAUAAUUAUCCAGCCAAGAUAUCUUCUCCAGAGGAUAGGACUAAAUCCUCAACCAUAUACUUUGGCUCUGGAUUGCCUUCGUUACUGGAUUAGAAAAACUGUCAGUGAGAAUAGUCUUGAGUCUUGAGUCUUGAGUCUGGGAAUCUGAAAGUCUUCAGACUCUAAACAUAAGGUUUGCAAUUAACUAGACUAGACUAAUAGAAAUGUUUUGUCAGCUUCAAAAUAUUCUGAAAAGAUUUCUCCAACAAUCUCCCCCUUUUUGAUGGUGACAAAACUUUCCUAUAGAUUUGAACAACUUUGACCUGCAAAAUAUUACUCAAGCAAUAUGGCUAUCUCAUAAAGAUUAAUAAAAUCAACAACCAGACUCUGCAUCCACAGAAAAGCAGUUAGUCUUUCAUGAGUAAAACCAUAUAGCAAUAUUUGAUAUAAAUGCAAAUAGUCAAUCAUCAAUCCACAUCCAAGUCAGUCAAAUUCAACACCGAAGUCAUACUAAAAACAUUCAAACACACAAAGAGAUUUAAAGUCAAAGUUUUAAAGUUCAGAUUGCAAUUCUCCCCCUUUUUGUCAGCAUUAAAAAGGUGAGAAAAGAGUCAAUUCUGCUUGGGAAUGCACACGAUCUGGAAUUCUCCCAUAGACUGUACGAUGCUUUCCAACUUCUUCAACUCUUCCCGUAGAUGAGCCACCUUUUCUCCUUUGGCAUUGGCUUGAAUUUGAAGAGCGAGGUCUUUCAUUUGAUCUGCCAAGGUAGUAGAAGAUGCUUGUCCAGCAUUCUUCGGGACUUGAAGUUCACAAUCCAGAGCAUAGAUUUGUCCACGCAUUUCCAGAAGAACAUCAAGGAUACGACGAAAAUCUACUGUAUUGUCCGUCUGUGUGCCCGCAUUUGAUCUCUCAGAUGGAGUGAAAGCAGACGAUGGAUCUUCGGUGAAAUCGAGCAAAUUUGGUGUUGACGUAUCAUGUCCUUCUUCAGGCAUUUGAGAAGCCUGAAAAUCUUCUGGAUUUGCUGGUGAACGACUCACACCUUCAGUGUUGACAGGAUCUGGUGUAGUCCUUCCUUGCUCGCCAUCUCCCCCUGUCUCUAGGACCUCAAUUAGGGAAGAGUGAUGGUCAUGCUCUUCAGCCCUUUGAUUCCCUUUCUCUCCUGCUUCAUCUGCAGACUUUUCAUUCACUGCUUCUUCUUCUUCUUCUUCUUCAACCUCUUUCUCUUUCUCUUGUUGCUCCUCUGCUUCUCUGUUCUUUGCUUGUCCCUCUUUUUCUCUCUGUUCUGUUGAUUCUGGUACAGAACGUCUGGUUCUUGUCAAUGCAGGAAUACAGAGAUCUUCCUCUUCAUCUUCAUCCUCCAAGAUAAGAGUUCUUUUCUCUUUGGUGGAGCACUCAUGGGCUCCUUCCCUUUUCUCUUUGAUGCAGAAGAUACUGGAGUCUUCACUUUGAACUUCUCCAUUGCCUUGCUAAGUUCUUUCAUACGCAUUUUUAUCAGCAUUUUCAAACCCACCACCAUUUUGUCGCACGGUCGAAUACAAAGAGUGUGUGGAGGCUCAAUGAUCAAGUGUCUGAAGAUCUUGGUCACAAGACCUGCGUAAGGCAAUUGGCCCUUGUCCUUCACCAUUGCUCUAUACAUGUGAAAGAGAAUGGUGUGAGGGAGAGAGAACUUCUUCCCUGAAUUGAUCACGUACAUCAAUUUCACCUCGGAGUUAGACACGUCAGUCUUUGAUGUAGACUUUGGCCUGAGACAGUUGAUCAAAAUUUUGUGAAGCACGAUGUUGAUGGCACUCAUUCUUGAGUAGGUAAUUCUUCUCUCUGUAUCUCUGUCUUUGAUAAGCUCCAGUGUGGUACGAGCAAUCGAAACUUUGAUUGGUUGAUAACGUCCUCUUUCAACUCCAAUUAUGUCUGCCAUCAUGUCCACAUCUACCACAUAGACUUGGUCUCGAACACUAAAGGAUAUUCUAUUCGCAUCUAAAAAGCUGAGAUUUGAAUAGAAGUAUGCUAUCAAUUGUGCAUAACCGUCUGUGGUAUCAGAGCAAAAUUGCUCAAGUUGAAGCAGAUUGAACUUCUCCCGCAAGUUCACAUUGAUGGCAUCCAAGAAGUCGAAAUCAACACUCCUAGGGUUUAUCACCCCUCUUUUCAACAAUCUGAAAAACAGAUUCUCCUGAUCCUUCGAUUUAAACAAAUCCAUCCGAUUUCCCUUCACCUUUGCUGCAACACCCAUUCUAGGUUGGAAUUCAAGGAACACCUUAUCAUCAUCGUUCCCAUCAGUCAGAUUCUGUCCCGGUACACGAGGGUCACUUGGAAUGUUCGCAAGUGCUUCCUCAGCCUUUCCUUUGGGAGCAACUCCCAAAUCCUCCAUUUUCCGCAAAAAAUAUACUCAUUCCCAUAAUUCUUAUCUUUAAGAAAUUCAUCUACGACAUUCAGCGGAGACCCAAUGCUUUUCAAUGCACGAUAGAGCUUGUAAAUAAAAGCGGGUUUUUGGACUUUUACAGGGUCUGUGUCCUCGAUUAUUUCUUCCUCCAGUUGAUGACCCACACCUUAUGGGGUAGAUGGUGAAGAUUGACGUGGAGGAGAGUGAAUCGGGCUCUGUUGCUGACUCGGUAAAUCUUCCUCCUCGGUGAGAUCGAAAUGUGUAGGCCCCUUCCUCAUUCUCUGUGGUCCCCUGUUCGCGAUUCUUGAUGACUUUCUCGAAGAAGACAUCCUUCCUUGUCGUUGAAAGAUUCCUUUACUCGCUUUCCCAAGAAAAGUUGACAACUUUCUUGAAGAUGAACACGAAGUAGUGACAGGAUUGGGAGGAGAAUGCCUUUUAGGGUUUUGAAGUUUAAGCGAGGAAAACUGUAUAUAUAUAACUCAGUUUAAAAAUGGAAAAUGAACAGUCGUCUCUUUUGAAACCGUUAACUACCAAAAAUAAGUUAAUAUUUUUGAAAAGACAUGAUUCCGUUUUUCACGGAAAUUAUAAAUUAAUUGAACUAAUGAUCAUACCUUUUCGAGAUUGAGUAUGAUAACAACUUACAGUCUAUAGCCAUGAAUGUCUGAGUCUGACGGUUGGAUAGUCUUUAGACUUUAACUUCCUCAAGCUUCAAAAUGUUGAGUCUGGAACGGAUAAAAUCGAAUUGAUUUUUCUCCAAAGGCUUUGUGAAUAUAUCUGUUAAUUGGCUCUUUGAAUCAACAAAUUGAAUCGAGAUUUCUCCAUUUUGAACAUGAUCUCUGAUGAAAUGAUGUCGAAUCUCUAUAUGCUUUGCUCUUGAGUGAAGGAUUGGAUUUUUAGUGAGAUUGAUUGCGUUGGUGUUGUCACAUCUAAUCUCUGUGCAUGAGUCUUCAAUUCCAAAGUUUUGUAACUGUUGUUUUAUCCAUAGAAUUUGCGAACAGCAGCUUCCAAGAGCUACAUACUCUGCUUCUGUUGUUGAAAGAGCUACAGUGCUUUGUUUCCUUGAAAACCAAGAUACUGUCCUGCUUCCAAGUAACUGGCAAGUUCCCGAAGUGCUCUUUCUGUCAACUCUGCAACCGGCCAAAUCUGCGUCUGAAUAUCCCAGAAGAUUAAAGUCUCUCUUCUUAGGAUACCAAAGACCGAUGCUUGAAGAUGAAGCAACGUAUUUAAUAUUAUGUUUCGCAGCACUGAGAUGGGAUUCUCUAAGAUCUGAUUGAAACCUAGCACAUAUGCAAACACUCAACAAAAUGUCAGGUUUAGAAGCAAUAAGAUAAAGAAGUGAACCAAUGAUACUCCUGUACAGCUUUUGAUCAACUUUCUUUCAUUCUUCAUCUUUGUCUAUCUUCAGAGAACUUGACAUAGGUAUGUCGGUCUUUUUGCAUUUUUCCAAUCCAAACUUCUUGACAAGAUCAAUAGCAUAUUUUUCUUGAUGAAUAAAAGUUCUUCCUUCAAUUAUUUUAUUUGGAGUCCAAGAAAGAAUGUUAACUCUCCCAUCAUAUUCAUUUCAAACUCAUCCUGCAUAGACUUAGAAAAUUUCUUGCACAGACUUUCAUUAGGGGAUCCAAAAAUAAUAUCAUCUACAUAUAUUUGAACAAGUAAAAAGCUUUUGUUUUCCUUCUUGAUAAAUAAAGUAAUAUCUACUUUACCUUUGACAAAACCAUUCUGUAUUAAGAACUUACUUAGUCUGUCGUACCAAGCUCGAGGUGCUUGCUUUAAACCAUAUAAAGCCUUUUUCAGUCUGAAGACUGAAUCUGGCUUCUUUGGGUCUUCAAACCCUGGUGGUUGUUCCACAUAAACUUGCUCAUGGAUAAAUCCAUUUAGGAAGGCACUUUUGACGUCCAUUUGGAAUAACCUGAAAUUUUUAUAGCGAGCAAACGCAAGUAAUAAUCGAAUAGCUUCUAACUUUGCUACUGGAGCGUAAAUCUCAUCAUAGUCUAUUCCUUCUUCUUGCAUGUAUCCUUUGGCCACGAGUUUUGCUUUGUUUCGUACAACUUUUCCUUUCUCAUUCAUCUUGUUCCUGAACACCCAUUUGGCUCCAAUAACAGUUUUACCUUUUGGUUUAGAUGUUAGUUCCCAGACAUCAUUAAUGUUAAACUGUCUGAGCUCUUCUUGCAUAGCUUCAAUCCAGCUUUCAUUAGAUAAAGCUUCUUCUAUGCUCUUUGGAUCAAUUUCAGAAAUGAGAGCCACAGCACUAGACUCUUCACGCCUUUUGGAUCUGGUGCGAAUUCCUUCAUUAAUUUCGCCGAUGAUGAGUUCUUUGGGAUGACUGGACUUAUGCUUCCAAUUGCUAGUUGAUUUGUCUGGUUGAUGAUCUCUUUCUUUAUUUGAAUCUUCACGAACAGCUUGAUGCUGGUCUUCUAGAGUCUGAUUUACUUCUUGAGUUGUAAGCUUUAGAGAGUCUGGAGCAGAUUCAGACUCUUCAUAAUGAGUCUGACUGGAUUCAUCUUGCAUAGAGUCUUGAAAUUUGACAUUCAUUGACUCCUCCACAGACUGACUCUUCUUGUUGUAGACUCUGUAGGCUUUGCUUGAUGAAGAAUAUCCAAGAAAGAUGCCUUCAUCUGAUCUUUCUUCAAACUUACCAACUCGAUCUUUAGCAUUUUUCAAUAUAAAGCAUUUGCAACCGAAUACAUGAAAGUAUGAAACAAUAGGCUUCUUACCUUUGAAUAACUCAUAAGGGGUUUUUUUUCUUGAAUAGCUCUUAAGAAGACUCUAUUGAUUAUAUAGCACGCUGUUGAAACAGCUUCAGCCCAAAAUCGUGAAGAAAUCUUACUUUCAAUUAAAAAAGUUCUAGCCAUUUCUUGAAGAGAUCUAUUCUUCCUUUCCACAACUCCAUUUUGCUGAGGAGUAUAUGGAGAGGAGAACACAUGCUUAAAGCCAGAUUCAUCACAAAAUUUAGUAAAAUCUUGAUUUUCAAAUUCACUUCCAUGCUGUUAUUAUACUGGAGAUAACACAUCCUUUUUCAUUUUGAAUCUUUUUAGCAAAUUUCUUAAAAUACGAGAAGGUUUCGGAUUUACUUGCAAGGAAAUAUACCCAAGUAAAUCGUGAGUAAUUGUCCACAAUUACUAGGCAAUAUUUCUUACCUCCAAUGCUCUGGGUUCUGGUAGGUCCGAAGAGAUCCAUAUGCAGCAGCUGCAGUACAUGAUUAGUAGAAACAUGAUUUAUUGACUUAAAUGAAUUUCUUACCUAUUUUGCCAGAAUACAUGGAGUGCAUAGAUCAGAUUUUUGGUAUGGUAAUUUGGGUAGACCUCGAGCAAGCUGCUUUGAAGAGAUUUUGGCUAAUUGCUUCAUGUUGAUAUGACCAAGCUUUCUGUGCCAUAAGCUUGCUUCGUCUUGAAUUGAGAUUAAGCAUUGCGAUUCAUCCGGUUUUACAUCCAAGAGAUAGAUGUUUCCAUGCCUUCGACCCAUGAAAGACUGAGUAGAGUCUUUGCUGAUACCAGAACAUGUUCCUUCUUGGAAGAAGAUCUUAAAACCAGUAUCACACAGUUGACUGAUGCUGAGAAGAUUGUAAUUGAGUCCUUCCACUAGGGAAACAUUACUUAUUAUAAGAUUUCCAAUUUUCACAGUUCCAAAUCCCACAAUACUUCAUUUGUUGUUUCCUCCAAAUGAAACUUUUCCACCAUUUACUUGAACAAGUUUUAUGAAGCAAUUUGAGUCUCCUGUCAUGUGUCUUGAGCAUUCACUGUCAAGAUACCACUUUACCUUUUUCUUGACGGAGACCUGCAUUUAAAAGAGAGUCUCAAGCUUUCUUAGGUACCCAAAUUUUCUUGGGUCCUUUGGUGUUAGUAAAAUAAACAGUAUUAGCCCAUACUUUCUUAACAGGUUUCCAAACCAUAGGACACUCUUUUUCAAAGUGAUCUGGACUGUUACACUUUGAACACCUGAGGGCAUCUCGACCUACAGACUUUACAAAAACCUUCUUGAAAUGAUUUUUGUAAGCCUCUCUUGAGGGUCUUUGCUUGAUUCUUUCUUUUACUUUAGGAAAAUCAAUCAAGGGAAUAGUUUCUGAUGUCAUACCUAAACCAGACUUAUUGAAGUAAGGUCUUUGCACUGAAAGAAUUUUGUCACGUUUCUCGGAACCUAUUGAAAAUUUCUUUGAAAUAUUUGAUAAGUCAGUUUUUAAAAGAGCAUUUUCUUUUAAGAGACUAUCUUCAUUUUCUUUAAGAGUGAAAACAUUCUUGUCUAAACAUUCAACUUUUUCUUUUAAAAUAUUUUCCUGUUGUUUUAGAGCAGAAUUUUCCUUUUUAAGUUCGGAAAUCCUUUUGAGAGAAGUCUUAAGACUAAAACAUAGUUUAUCUAUAUAUUUAGAAACUUUGGCAGGAAUUUUAAAAUCACUUACCUCAAAUUCACUGUCUGAGUCUGAUUCAGAGUUUGAGUCUGAGUCUGAUUGCGCCAUCAGACAUAAGUUGGCAUAUUCAUCCUCACUUUCUUCAUACUCUGUAUCACUCCAGGUUUCAGCUUUGAGAGCCUUUCGAGACUUUUCAGCUUUUCCUUUCUUUUUCUUCAGAAGAGGACAGUUAGGUUUGAUGUGUCCUCUUUUCUUACAUCCAAAGCAAACUAUAUCUUUGUUUGGUUCCUCAUCAUCAACAGACUUGGUCUGCGGUCUUUGAAAACUUUGUUUCCUUGAGUUGAACCUUCUUCCUUUUUUAUUCAGUUUUCUGAAUCUUCUUAUCAUGAGAGCAAGCUCCUCAUCGUCCAUAUCAUCUUCAUAAUCUGUAACAUCAGAAUCAUCAUUUGAUUUUAAUGCAAUGGAUUUCUUACCUUUUGGAUCUUCGUCUUCAUUAAUUCAUUCCACUUCAUAAGACUGAAGAGUUCCAAUCAGCUCGUCGACAGAUAGUGGCAUAAUUCUCUGCGUCUCUCUUAUUGAAGUUUUUACGUGAUUCCAAUCCUUGGAGAGUCCACGCAGUAGCAUGUUUACCUUCAUAGGAUCAUAAAUUUUUUGUCCUUGAUUCUCAAGACCAUUGACAAUAUCUGUAAAACGGCUAAACAUGUCAGUUAUAGAUUCUCCUGGUUUCAUUUUGAAGGCUUCAUAUUGACCGAGGAGAAUAUUAAUUCUGGUCUCCUUCACUCGAUCUGUUCCUUCAUAGGUGAUAUGCAAUCUAUCCCAAAUUUCUUUUGCUGUAACACAAGAAGAUAUUCAGUUAUAUUCAGUUGGUGACAAAGCACAAUAUAAAGAGUAAAUUGCUUUUGCAUCGAGUGCUUGUCUCUUCAUUAUCUCUUCCUGAGUCAUUCCGUUGGUCUCAACAGUUUCUUUUCCUCUUUCAAAGACUGUUGCAGCUGUAGGAGUAAUUCAUUUUUCUACAACGUCCCAUUCCAGAGGAUCCUUUGAUCGUAGAAAGGCUUUCAUCUUGUUCUUCCAGAUGUUGUAAUCCUUUCCAUCAAAGUAGGGUGGUCUGGUAUUGCUUUGCCCUUCCACCAACCCUGGUGCUAGCAUACUAGCCAUGGAUCUUUUACUCUGAAGUAAAACACUUCAAAUAUAGUGAGGACCAAAGCUUUGAUACCAAUUGAUAUAGCUAGAAUAAGUACCUAGAGGGGGGUGAAUAGGUAUAUGCAAGAUUUUUCUUGAUAGUUGCACAAUACUAGACGAUUUAAUCAGAUUUGAGACAAACAAUAAUCAAAGUAAGACUAAGAGAAGGGAAGAGAAAAUUGAACAUGCGGUUUAUAGUGGUUCGGCUUAUUUCAAGCCUACGUCCACUCUUCUGCACUGACAGCCUAUUGGCUGGAUUCCACUAUGAACAAACAGAUGUUACAGCGAUGUUCUUCCUUGAUUUCUCGGUGUAGAUGAUCUACCACACUUGCUCAAGGUAUCACUAAGAAUAGACACUCUGUGUGUGUACAAUUUCGCUCAUAAUGUAUCGACUAAUAAUCAAGGUGCUUCAAACUCUGGAAUUUCUCUAUCGAUCAUAUUCUCAAAAUAACUAGAACGUCUUCCUUUUAUACUCCUUCAUGCCAUCAUACCCGUUGGCACUUUCCAAAAGAAUUCCUCCAAUCUACCCGUUGGACGGAAUCAAUCAAGAAGAUUAUUCGAGCUAUUAAAGGAACCUGACGAUAGCCCAUCAAUCCUGUUCGCCCAUACAAUCAGGAUCUUGGUUUCCAAGAAUAGAACCUUCCAAGAAUACUUCGUUGACCAUCAGAUCUUCAAACGAUCUUGAUUACGAAUGAAAGAAUCCGUUAUAAUUAUCCAGCCAAGAUAUCUUCUCCAGAGGAUAGGACUAAAUCCUCAACCAGAUACUUUGGCUCUGGAUUGCCUUCGUUACUGGAUUAGAAAAACUGUCAGUGAGAAUAGUCUUGAGUCUUGAGUCUUGAGUCUUGAGUCUGGGAAUCUAAAAGUCUUCAGACUCUAAACAUAAGGUUUGCAAUUAACCAGACUAGACAGAUAGAAAUGUUUUGUCAGCUUCAAAAUAUUUUGGAAAGAUUUCUCCAACACGUUUCCCAAAUUCGCAUUAAUCGAAGGUAUCGAUUGAUCCUUACACGAGGUAGACAAUCCAUAAACGGUGAUAUGAGGGCAUCAAAGUGGGAGUUUCUAUUAUCCGUUUGGCCUAAAAAUUUUACAUGACUGUAAUCUACAUAUUAGUUCACUCCACUACAAAUUUCUGUCAAAACGGAUGAACGAAUACUACAUACACGUCGUUUCCAUGCGAUUGCAUAGUGUGCCCAAGCCUGACCCAUGACCCGAGUUGACUGAUUUUAGUGAUAAAGACUCGAUGGAUCAAGCUUGAAAUGUUGGACAAAAACCAAAGCACUUUAGGGCUUUGAACCAAUGGAUAUUGGUUAGAAACCAUUGGGUAAGGAUGGGCUUGGCCAGUGACCAUAUAAAGGGAUUUAGAAAAAAUUAUCCAAAAUUUUUUAAACUUAUUGUACAACGACCAAUUCAAUCAUAAACCAUUUACUUAUGCCAAUUCAGUCUUAAAUAUUUUGAUGAUUUGUCAAUUUAGUCCUAAACAGUUUUAAUAAUAUGUCCUUGUAGUCCUUGGGCAAUUUCCAACCAAACUUAUCCGGAAGGAUUACAUUGGCAAAUUGCUAAAAGAUUUAUGAAUAAAUUGACAAACUAUCCAAAAGUUUAGAACGAAAUUAGUACAGCUAAAAGGUUUAUAACUAAACCAGUUGCCUUACAACAAGUUUAGGACUAAAUUGACAUAAUUGAAAAGUUCAUAACUAAAUUUUUCGCCGUACAAUAAGUUUAUGACUUUUUGAACAAUUAUUCCGAGGGAUUCAAGAUACUUUUUUUUCUCUCUCUCUAAACUCAUCCCUCUCAUUUCCACCUUCAUUUCUUUGGCUCAUUCUCUAGUCUUCAUUUCAUAGUACUCUCUCUAGGCUUGAAAAACUAUAAAAACUAUGAUUUGAGGAACCCAAAAUCGUUAAGUAACAAGCGAAGGUUGAGGGAACUAGAGCAAACUAUGUUAGUUUUGCUAAUUAUCAUGAGUUGAGUGAGAGCCUAGGAUCCCUUGCUUCACGAAUUCAAGGUAAAACACUUUCGUCCCUCUAUCAUUUUAAGUUGUUACUCCUUCUCCAAAGAUAAACAAGCUUUGGAUUAUGGUUAAAAGCCGAGGUAUGGCGGCUCGCAUAGCCAUUGCAUGCAUUACGAAUCCACUACCUUGGUCUACCGAUCGAUUCACACGGUUAUGGCAUCUAGUACAUGUGAUUUGACUUUUUUGGGUUAUGUUAGACUUAAGUUUGUUGUUAAACCGGUCCAUUUCCUCCUCCCUUGGCCAUGACCCCUACUAGCCUUGUCUAGCCGUUUCCCUUGAUUUUUUGUUGAAAAACCUUGCAAAUGUGUCUCGCCCCAUGCUUUAGCCAAGGGCCCUAGGGUGUCAAGCUCACUUUUCUUCGUCAUUUGCUCAUGUCGAUAUCAUAUUCUAUGAUAGAUUAAGAUAUAAUGUCGAUUCCUAUGUUGAAUGUCAUGCUUGCAAAGUUUGAGAAUUACCAUCAACCGGUUCCAAGGAUCGGUCUUUGGAUGUGAUUAAUCUUAUUUCUUUUGCAACUUACGUUGUUUAAUCUCAUAUUUUAGUGGAAUCACACAUUAUCAUUCACCUGUCACCAAGAUUCCAUGUUUUGGAACUGCUUAGUGGGCAAAUGAGCACAUUUAUCUAACUGCCCAGCAAACCUAAUGGGCUGGAGGGUCGGUUUUGGACAAGCCAUUGCAUUAUUGCAUCAUUCCUGAGUCACAUUCACAUGUUCACCUCAUAUUUAUAGAAUUUUAAUUAUGGUUAUUAAUUUAAAUUUAUCCAACACGUUUUUGGUAUAGUUUAGAUAUCUAAUCAUAUUAUCAUUAUUAUCAUCAUUUAGCUUUAGGAGACAUGCACUCCUUAAUCUAGGAAUUUGCAAAUUUAAUUAUUAGCAGCCUCAGGAGUCCUAUUCCAAGGUUCAACAACAAGAGAAUGAAUUUUUUUUGCCCGACUCAUAUUAGGUUUUCUUGUUGCACCUCAAUUGCUUAUGGGCAAGGGUGGCUGACCCUUGCCAGUCCGGGAGAGGGUGCCCAGGCCUAACAAGGGUGAGGGCGCCCAGUUUUAGGCGACAUGGACCCUACCCUAAGGCUGGCGAUGGUGCCUCUUGCAUCCUACCAUUAUUGUUUUUCAAUUUUUUAAAAUAAAAUUUUAGCCUUUUACUUUUUUAAUCUAAUUUAAAUAAUAUUUUGAAGAAGAAAAUAAUUUAAAAAAAAAGCUUUGUAGGAGAAAAAAAUUAAUUUAAAAAUGCCAUGUCAACGACUCAUCGCCAAGAUCAAUUUCUAGAUUUUCAACUAAUUUACAACAUCAUAAAGUUGAGUCGAUUGCUCAGGCAUGCUAGUCUAUUCCUUGUAUCUUAAAUUUACAUAUCUCUUAAUUAAAAAUGAUUUAUUUUGUGAGAACCCCUCUUACACACAUCUUACAAUUUCUUCCACAAUGUGUUAACAUUUGUUUCUUGAGGAGCAUGAUAUAAAAAAUUAUGAUCAAUCUAUUGUGAAUAGAACCAACUGUUUUUUUGAUUGAUUUGCUCUUGCUCCUUAUCUUUUUUUGUCUUCUUUACCUCUAUCCCCACUGAUGGGAUCAUAUAAAUUUUGACAAGACAAUAUGUCUUUAAUCUGAGAUGUCCAAAUAAAAUAAUUUGAGGCAUUUAACUUAAGCAUGGUGCCAAUGGUUUCCUCCAUCAAUGCUAGCUCUAAUUCCACUUUGUUGGGGAAAGACAACAUCAAUUGUUGAGGACUUAAGCCUGUCUAGGAUCGAAACCCUCCACCCCAAACUCAAUGAACUAAUAUCAAAUCAAUCUCAACGGCAACUAAUUACAAUAUUCCAGUACUAUUAACCCCAAACAAGUAAAUAUAGCGCCGAAAAUUAAAUACAAAGUAACAAGACCCAAAAUUUUAUGAGAAAUAGCCAAUUCGGGAAAAGCCACAAGAGCUCUCUCUUUUCUUUUUCAGCAAGAAAACGCGGCUACUCUCGCUUCUCCACUGCUAUGAAACGUUCAGCCCUCUUUUUCUUUUCUUUUCUGAUUUUAUUCUUAUUAAAGAUGUGCUAGACCUAUGAGUCGGGCCUAGCCCAUCACUCUGCACACGUUGAGUGAGAUCCACGGUGCUCUUGACGUCAAUGUUCUGUGCAAGUCUUCGCUUGCAAACAAUUGAAGGGAAGACUGCAGCAAAAAUUCACUUAACUGACUUACGGUACGGCAACCCAAGAGCCUUCCAUAAUCAAAGCCUUUCAUAAAUUUAGUUGAAUUGCGCGUAGACUUGUGGUCAAUGCAUAGCCAAAGUUCUGAUUUGACACUACCCUAUAUAAAAAUCUUCUGAAUGUCUCUUCUCAUCCAUCCAAUCAUCAAAAAAUGAAUUUUUGCGGCACCAUUCACCUCUCUCUCAUCUUCUUCUUCUUCUUCUUCAAUUUUCUCAGUAUUUGCACUCACAUUACUAAAGCUGCACCCGAAUAUCUGUAUCAUGAUUGCCCAAACACCACCCUCUUCACUCCCAAAUCCACCUACCAAACAAAUCUCAACACCCUCCUCUCUUCCCUCUCCUCUGUCGCCGCCACAGAUGUCGACGGCUUUGCCAAUGCCACUGCCAGCAAAAAUCCACUUGACCGCGCCUACAGGCUAUUCCUCUGCCGUGGCGACAACGCCGCCACUGCUUGUGGCGACUGCAUGGCCAACGUGAGCAAGGAAAUACUCAGCAACUGCCCUAAAGAGAAAGACUCCAUCAUUUGGUAUGUUGAGUGCAUGCUGCGUUACUCGAACCACUCCAUUUUCUCCGUUGAGCAAGAUGCGCCAGCUUCGUAUUGAUGAACGUGGUCAACAUUUCAAGCUCUAGUAGCUUUUCCCAGUUGCUAAAGGACACGUGUUGACACUUAAUAUUUUAGAAAAUAAUAAAUAAAAUAAAAAUUCGAUUUUGGAAAUUUUUUGUUGAAAAUAUAUCUUCAUUUCAAAAUUCAAAAAAUUCAGUUUUUAUUUGAUUUUGGAGCCUUUUUAUUGUUGGAGUUGUUGAGUGAAUAUCUCACUCGCAAAAACAACUUUGAGCCUUCCUCUAUAAAUAAAAGAGCGAAGUUUCGGAACCAAAGGGGGGGCUCCUUCAUUUGGUUUUCGAAAAGUUCACAAAAGAAAAUAGAGUUUUGGUAAGGAGAAACGUCAAAAGAAAAAAGGUGGAGAGAAGAGAAGAUACAGAGAGAGAUGACGUGAGGGAAAGCAGAAAAGUGAGAGUGAGAGAGACAGGUGAGAAAGAGUAUCAGGUGAGAGAAAGUAAAAAAACAAAGGCAAAAAGAUGGACUAAUGUUCAUCUUCCUCGUGAGUUUCUGUCCCUACUGCCCAUUUCCUCCGCGCUGACAAGACUGCUGCUGCCACUCCUGCGCCCCCCAAUCGCCGGUUCCCUGCUCUGUCUCGCCGCAUCAGCAUCACCCAGCUUCACCGGAGAUCUGCUCUCUACUCCACCUACAGCCGCACCAUCGUUCGGAGCCCGACGACCGCCCCGACGCCAACGCUUCUACCCCGCUUUCACCGACAUCGCUUGACAACCCGCGCCGCCUCCGCUCAGCUCAAUGCCGCGAGUAGCAACCUGCUCAUUUCCACUUGUAGCACCGCUCGAACAUCACCGCUGCCUGCGCUUGCGCCUCUACUCGACGAUCACACCAGUAGCCCGCGCUGCUCUGCCUCCGCUCGAUGCCCGACGCUCCUGCAGCACCUCCGUCCGCGACCGCCCAGUGUCCGAUGCCCCUUCCUCCGUGCAACGAUUCUCCAGCCGCUCCGUGCCUCCUUGCUGUUGCGUCCGCCAGCCCCGUGUCCUUCGCCUCUAUUCGUUGCUGCACGCCCGAACAAGGCCACAUGCUGCCUCCCUUGUUUUGCUGCAAAUCUAGUUACUGUCGAACCUCGCCGGAGCUCCGACGGACAACCCCAGCUUUGGCCACCGGAACCCAUCACCCUUGGCGAGUCACCAUCGCAGCUUAGCCAUUACUACUUCUUCGCCAUUUCUUCCAGUCCACCAUGAGUUAGACUAGGUGAAUUUUUAUAUUUGAUUUCAUGUUUUGUUUUUAUUGUAACUUGAUUUAUUUUGAUUUACUUUUAUUAUUUGAUUAGGAAAUUUGUCAUAUUAAGCCAUGAUAAUAAAAAAUAUUGAACAGCGAGACAGUGGGUUAGAUUUUUGAUUAUUUCAACUUUUUAUGACAAAUUUAUGGUUUGCUUUGCAUUAUUGACUCGCGUUAAAAUACAUGUCAUUGAUAUACAUUGAUGGAUUAUAUUUUCGUGCGUUAUCAUUAUUUGUUCCUCACAUAUUAUGCAUAUCUAGAAUUUAAGUACUUAGGUCCAUAUGCAUUUUAUAUUUAAAGCUUUGCAUUUUUAAGAUUCAUAUAGAAUUAGGAUGAUUUUCCUUUAAUAAAACCAAAUAAAAAAGAAUAAAAAAAUGUUAUUUAGAUCAUAUAAAUCACACAUGUUGCACUCUAGUUAGUGGGCCGUAGAUUAAUGUUUUAAUAUUCCCAUCAUGUUGUUUUUUUUAAUAAAAAAAAAAGCCAAAGAUUAUUAUUGCAUAAUCAUGUUGUUUUAAUAAGAAUUAUUAAGUAAUUUAAAAAAAAAGAUAAAACAAAAGAGAAAACACAAAAGGUCAUUUAUUUGGUUAGUUAAUAGGUUAGUUCAUAAUUAAUCCCAUUUUAUGUCAUCAUUGUUUAGUGUAGGUUGCAUACAUUAAAAAAAAUCAUAAAAAAAAUCAUAAAAAGAACAUGCAUAUAGAAUUAUUAUGUCAUUCACCCCAUAUCAUGUAGGACAUGCAUACUUAGGAUUAUAUAAAUUAGAUUGCAUACAUAUGGUGAUAGUUCAAAUUAUGCCAUAUAAAUCGCAUUUCAUAUAUCAUUAAAGUAAAACUCAUGCAUAUUAAGUUUAGGUUAAGAUUGCAUAAUAAUAAAAAUUAGGUGUCAUUUAGAAAUCAUGUUUAGAGCAUGCAUUUUUAUUAGCAUUUUUUAUUGAUUGUUAUUUUAUUGAUUGUGCACCCGCAUGACCACCAUUUGCAUGUUAGUAGCUUAAGUUAAAAGUAAUUGACAUUGCAUGCAAAAUAUUUUUGAAGUUAAUAUAAAAGGUACCAAAAAGGCGUUACACUAAUCUAGCAUAACCAUGUCCCCGGACCUACUAAAUCUCUGGUUCGCAAAAGUGAAGUAUUCUCCCAUAGUUUACUUGAGUUUCUAACUAACCCUAAUUGGUUAGUGGCGGCUCCAAAUUGAAUAUAAUUGCAUGUUUAAAUGAGUUUAUUUCUUAAUAUCAAGUCGCGAUUGGUAGGACUUGGGAGGGUCCAUGCCAAGUCUUCGGACUUAGUAAUCCAUUAGCCUUCUUUAGGUAAUUCACCCUUGGGAAUGUCGUGGUAGCUCGGCGACUCCGCUGGGGACAGAGUUAAAACUCAUAGUGGACAUAAGCCUAUUUUUUUUUUUUAAUAUUUUGUUUGACGGCAUGGAAACAAAGUAUGCUCCUAACACGAAGUGUUAAAUGUUUUUACAGAAAUGAGGUAUAAGGGGAGUAGUGCUUGCUGACUCUUUGUUUUCUAGGAAGGUGUUGGGAUUGAAUGUUUUUCUUAUCAUUGAAGUGUUGCUUACAUUAUAAAUUGUUGUGCAUGAUUUUCAAAUUGUUUUAGCACUACACAUUGCACACAUAACCUGCCGUUGGACCUAGACCGCAUUUAAGGAUUCUAGGAUGGUGUUGAGAAAUGAGCCAACCUUGAACGCGAGACCACGAUGUAGAGGUUGCCUUUCUCAACCCCGAAAUUUUUUCUUGGUGUCAAAAUGUUUAUCAUUGUCCGCAAGACUGCGUGAUCAUGAGAUUUUCCUUUUGACCGAGCCAGAGUUAAGAGGACCCGACAUUUGUACGCGAGAUUGCAGCUAGUUAGCCCAUCCUCUUGGCUCUAACUUGUUAAGCCUUGUAGUUUAGGUGUUAAGCCUCACAUUUCAUGCGCCUGUAUAUGUGGUUGCCAUUUUCCUUUGUAGAGUAAGUAUUCUUACCUUAUAUCAUGCAAUCUAUUUACUUUAUCGCACUUUCUUUUGGUCCAUGACAAAAGGUCGAUCGUGAGUUUUAAUCUAUAUACAAUCGGGAGAUCCGAUGUUCAAUUCAUUCCAACUCCCAAGAUUGAGCUCAGAGGGUGGUGGAACAAAUUAAGUAAAGAAGGUGAGGAUUAUGGGACGACUCAUCCCCCUUUUGGAUAUUGGAGUCCAUAGUAGUGUUUUGCAAGCUAUAUCACACUUUUGGUGUCCCGAGACGGCUACAUUUAUUUUUGGUAAGAACGAGCUAACUUCAACACUGGAAGAGUAUAGCUUUAUCAUAGGAAUACCCCUUGAGAUUGAGCUUGUUAGGCCAACUCUUGGUAUGGAACCCACAUCAAUUUUAUCUCAAUUUCUAAGAAUUAAAACUAAUGAGGUUAAGAAAGUUUUGAAAGCUAAUUGUAAUGCAUGCCCUUUCUCCUUUUUGGCUAAUCAUUUUUUAAAUCAAUCUUCAAUGCACCAAAAGGGUAGGAUAUUCAUCUUAGUAUUCUUUGGACUUAUAAUAUUUCCUCAUCGAAGAAAUGCUAUUGAUCCCUCGAUUACAUGGGUGGUUAGACAAGCAUGCGCUGGCAUGAACUUUAUAAACAUGAUUUUGGCUGAGACAUUUUUGUCCCUCAACUGUUUUAAACAAAAUGGAGAAAAAAUCAUGAAUGCCUCUCCUGAGCUUUUACAAAUUUGGUUUCUUUCUCACAUGAAGGAGUUUGGUCAUUUCAUGCGUUGAGGUGAAAUUGAUGAUUCUAAUCACCCAAUAAAAAGAUUUUCAAUCUUAGAAAAAAAAAUAUACCGGAAAAUCAUUUUCCGAUUGGGUGACUUUUCUUAAAGAUCCAGAUCUCAAGGGCUUCCUAUGGUAUGCUAAAUGGUUCCAUGUUAGCGUGGCUCAUUUCUCUCAUAAGACAGAUAAUCCAAUUCCAUUGAUGGGAAUUACUGGUGCAACAUCUUACUAUCCUUAUAGAGUGGUCUGCCAGUAUCGAGUGCUCCAAGAUAUCCCACCUCCUCUCUGAGUGGAUCUGUUUCAAGCCCGCUUCGUGCGCAAAGAUCACAAAUACCUCGAUGAGAUCGAGCGUCUUAAAAAUGCAUGGAUGGAAUGCCAUCCGGAAAAGAUAGUGGUGCCUAGAAGAUUGAAAGGAAAUGAGAGGAUUUUUCAUGCCUCGGAUUAUUAUAUCCACCAUCAUGAGACCCUCAAGCUCUACNNNNNNNNNNNNNNNNNNNNNNNNNNNNNNNNNNNNNNNNNNNNNNNNNNNNNNNNNNNNNNNNNNNNNNNNNNNNNNNNNNNNNNNNNNNNNNNNNNNNGAGAACUCUUACGCGGCCAAGUACCCGAGACUUUUAUCGCUGCUGCGGAAUGAUGUUUGAUGCAGAAGGAGCCCAUACGCCCGAGAUCUCGUGCCCCACGGAUUGUGGAUCAUGGGUAAAUGGAGCGGUUCGAACAUACAGGACCUGAAUCGAUCAUGAAAGGGAUUUGGGGUGAUGGGAUGAUCUCCUUAGUGGUGCCAUUGUCGAGCAAGGCUGGGGGGAAACGGGCGGUAGCCCAGAAGAGUUACGUUUUUCCUUUUCUGUUCAUGUCUGCAACCUUUUCAAAGGAUUUUUAGGCCUUGAUGUUUUAGAGGGUUUGCUUAUCGAAGCGGUUAGGAUGACCCCAUAUGUUGAUAACAUACCUUUGAUGAUUCAACAAUUUCAAGCAAGCUUGACAAGACCAGCGCUUCAAUGGUACAUUAUGAAGAAGAUUAAUUUGCUGGAGACUUGGGAGGAUUUGACUGAUACCUUCUUCAAGCAAUAAAAGUAUAAUAUUGAUGUCACUCCAUCUCGAGAAGAUUUACUUCGCACUGAGAAGAAGAGGACGAAAUCUUUCAAGGCAUAUGUCACGAGAUGGAGGACUGUAGCUGCUCAAAUUACUCUAGAUCUAAUAGAGAAGGAGCUUAUGGUUUUGUUCAUGAAGACACUCCCGCCUGAGUAUCGAAAUCGAAUGCUAGGUUCGACUGCUAAGUCAUUCAAUUAGCUAAUCCCUGUCAGCGAGCGAAUUGAAGUAGCAUUGUAUGAUGGAUGGGCGUCUGAUCAAACCAGCUCAUAUAAGAGAGUCUCAGCCUGUCACGCCCAGAUCCUCGAGUACGCACACAUCCUUCUCACUUGGUCGAUUUUAUAAUGCAAUAUCCCAGGACUAUGUAUCGCUGACCAUUUCAUUUAUUAAGCACAUGCGGAAGCAGUUAAAAUUCCCAAACAAUAAAAUGAUGGGAUAGAAAAGCAUAGCCAUACUUUUCAUAUUGAAACUUAUAACCAAACUUUUAUACAAACACAAAAUAGAGUACUUCACAACUUUUUACUCUAUCUCUAUUCACAUCAAAAUGGAGAUCUCAAAAGAAGAAAGAAUCUCAGUCCAUCCGGGCCGUACUCAAGGCCCCUCUCGGUAUUAUCUUCUUCUUCCAAAAUUCUUCUCCUCGGGUUUUAUCUCCGAGUUCUCCUUCCCAGACACCUCCUCAGCUCCUCAUCAGAGUCCUGAAAUAUUUUCCCUAAACUGGGAUGAGACUACGUCUCAGCGAGUUCUAUCCCACUAAGGCCCGAUUAGUAAACCAUUAUACUAUAGGCUGCCUAGACACGCACAGGGCAGAGAAUUUACCUUGGCCUCAGAUCCCACCUGCAAGUCAGUACAAUUCACAAUAGGCACCCAGUUACUCCAAACAAAUCGAACCAAUCGAUUACAUGUCACACAAAUUAUUCUUCAUGGAGGAGUAUCUAAAAGCUAGGCCACGUGCAUUCUCCAAGACGACAUUCCAAGUCUCCAAGCCACAUGCCUCAAACCUUGGGCUCAUGUGCAUUCUCUAAGGCGACCUCUUCGCCAAGGUGAUACAUCAAGUCACCAAGCCUCGUGCCCUUUUAGAUGCUAUUUCCAAACACUGGACCCACGUGCAUUCUUUAAGGCACUCAAUUGCCAAAGUGACGCAUCAGAUCACCGAGCCACGUGUCCUUUUUAUGAUGCCCGGGCCCACGUGCCUUCUCUUAGGUGCUAUCCACCAAAGUGAUGCAUCAAUUCACCGAGCCACGUGCCCUUUUAGAUGCCAAACUCUGUCACCAAGCCAUGUGCAUUCUCCAGAAGGACAUACCGAGUCUCCGAGCCACGUACAUUCUCUUAGGCGACCUCUUCGCCAAGAUGACAUAUUCAAUCAUCGAAUUCAAGUGCAUUCUCCAAGUGAUAUUCCAAUUCACCGAGCCCACGUAUUUUCUUUCAGGUGAUAACCAAUACCCAACGAUUUCUCAAUCAAAUAAUAAACAAUCAACUCAAUAUGAAUAAUUCCUAAAAAUUCAUAAUUAAAUAAAUUCCAUACAAAUUAAAGCUCAAUUAAAUAAACGGACUGUGACGCGACGAUCAGCACAAGAUUUCGGUCGUUAGCCAUCAAAAUCUUAAUUUCCAAAAAAUAAUUAAUUAAUUAAUUAAUUUCGAAAAUUUAUUUAUAAAUAUUAAAAAUUUAAUUUAGCACAAAAUAAAGCCCAAUUAAAUAAAUGGACUUCAUCACGGUCACCAGCAUAAAAUUCCGGUCCCGAGCCAUCCCAGUUGAAUUUUCGGAAAAUAAAUAAUUAUUUAAUUUAAUUCCGAAAAUUAAUAUUUAAAUACUAAAAAUUCAACUUAGGCCCGAAAAGCCUAGCUGAAGCUCACUAAGGAUCAGGAAAAAUCCCAAGAAACUUCCAAUAAAUAGUAGACCACGUCUACUUGCUAAUUGCACAAUCGAUUUGUCUAAUUCGCAUCACAAUUGGCUAAUAAACACUAAUCCAUACUAAUCUAACCACAUAAACCUAAUUAAUUAAAACUAAACACUAAUCCAUACUAAUCUACAAGUCGGACACAUUCUCUAAUCCUCAUGACUUCACCUCUUCUUCUCCUCAAGGCCAACCAAAGUUAUCUAGCCGCUCCGUCCACCAGGGACCUGAAAUUUUAAUCCCACAACCGGGAUGAGACUUUGUCUCAGCAAGUUCAACCCCCUAAACCCCUAUUAGAAAGAAAAUACGCCCCGGGUGGCCUAGCCACAUCACACAGAAGACUUACCUCGCAUUAGCCUCAUCUGCAAGUUAGCACAAUUUAUAUAAUUCAACCACGUGCAAUUAUGAUAACCAAACAACCAGGCACACUCACAAUAUUAGAACAAUUCAACCACUUGGAUUGUCUCAGCGAUCAAUCGACUCGGCCGAUUACAUGUCAUUCUAACAAAUCAAUCAUUACCUCCAAUCACGAUGCUAUACAAAGGUUUGACAACCAGUGGCAAUCACGGCCCCACUCGGCACGACCUUUAAUUAGGUGGUCCAUCACGGCCUCACUGGGCACGACCUCUAAUAGGUGGUCAAUCACGGCCUCACUGGGCACGACCUCUUAUAGGUGGUCAAUCACGGCCUCACUGGGCACGACCUCUAAUAGGUGGUCAAUCACGGCCUCAUUGGGCACGACCUCUCAUAGGUGGUUCAUCACGGCCCUAUUAGGCACGACCUCUCAUAGGUGGUCCAUCACGGCCUCACUGAACACGACCUCUAAUAGGUGGUCAAUCACGGCAAAUCUUCCAUCAAUUCCCACACUUAGGAUUUUAUAAAAAAAUCCCUAUUUAUCGCAAUCACACUCAAUUUGCCACGAUCAAUCAUCAAAUUCAAAUUCUAAAUACACAGCAGCGAUCGACACGAAAUUCUGAGAGUUUAGGGUCCCGACGAAAUUUUCGAAUUUUAAUAAAUAAUUAAAUUUAUUCCGAAAAUUAAUUAAAUAAUAAUAUAUAUAUAUUUCGCAAUCCACACUCAAUUUAUAAUAUCUAACCAUCAAUUUCAAAAUCCGAAUACACAGCAGCGAUCGGCACGAAAUUCUGAGCAACCGGGGUCAAAAAUAAUUUUUCCGUUUUUUUUAAUAAUAAUAUUUUAAUAAUUUCGGAAUAUAAUAUAAUAUUAUAAUUUCCAGUAUUUCGAAACAAUUAAAUAAUUCAAAACUAAAACCCUAUUAUGUCCCAUCAAGGUUUAUUAUUAAAUAAACUAUCUUAGCCUUUAAUUAAACACACUUUAAAUUAAACAAACCUUUUAAUUCAAAUCACAAUUAAAUAAACUAAAAUAUCCACCUAAACUUGCUUAACUUAGACUAAGCACACUUAGGACAUAAUUAACCAUCUAAUCAAGGUUUAGUGAGCUAACUCACCGGAUUAGCGAGCCGAGCGGACCAAAACGACGGGGACAACGCGAGGAUCGACUUUCCACAAGGCGGGCCAAGCAUACGGGCUCGGGAAGACGGCCAAAACGGACCAAACACAGGUUGCCAUACCCACUAAAACCAGCUGCUGUCCAAGCUCGAAGGAGGGCCGUCCGGCGGCGGUUCGGGCGUGAAAUCGGUGAAGGAGGACGGCGGAUGCUCGAACGGUUACUAGCGGUGGCUCCGGCGACUUUCCGGUGAUCUUGCCGAUGGGGGACAGCUUGGGACAACAAAGGAUGAUGGCUGGGAUGCGCAGACGAAGGGAAGAUGGCACGACGGUGGAACGGUGGACGCACGCGUGAGGCUUCACGUGCGAACGGGUGGCAACGGCGAUGGCUCCGGCGACGUGCAGCGGCAUCGAGCGAGCGGAGGGGGGCGUGCGUGCGGGCUAGGCGAGCUGCUGGUUCCGUUCACCCCUCUCUCUCUCCUCUUUUUUUUUAAAAUCCAACAAGCUUCCUUGAUUCAAGGAAUAAGAUGAUGAUGAUAGGUCACCUUUCCGAGAGCAAAUCCUCACCCUCCACUUGUCAACAUCCUAGCCACUCUUGCCCCACACCAUGACAUCACCAAGUGAUGUCAUACUCCACUAACUCAAUCUUCCCACAACAAUAUUCAAUAGGUGCAAUUUAUUUUUCCGCCGGGGCAUGAAACUUUGUACAACCAAUUCUUCAAUUCCACUUGAUUCUCUUCUACUUGAAUUAAAUUGAAGUCCAUAAAAUUAAUCCAAUGUCACCACACUUCAAUUCACAUCUUCACUUGUCCAUAGAACCAACUUAAGUCCCAAAAGUGCGACCAAAAGCGGCCUACUAAUUUCUCGAGCCAAAUUAGCCAUUUUUUGUUUAUCUUGCUGAACAGCUCGGCUUGCAUGAAAAAUCUUCCAAAGAUUAGUCAAUGUUCCUAACAUGAUUUGUGACACAUCCAGACUUCCAAUUUCUGAUUCGAUCUUAAUUCCACGGUUAAUUUCACUUUGGCACGAUAUAGCGCGGUCCAACCUACCGGGUAACCUUUAGGAAUUUUCAUGCAUUUGACCUGUGGUUGAUCAUCUCAAGCCACAAUGUACAUUUUUGAAACAUUGGCGACUUUCGGUGUCGGUGUAAUCUCAAGGUUUCAAAUAUGAACACAGGGUACCCAAUCGACAGAAAAGUCGGUCCAGUGCCGAUCGACAAGAAUUGUGCGAUCUGGUGGAAUCACCCACACCUGAUCACAUGCCUCUGUCGAGUCGACCUAUCUCCGAUCUUUAAUCGAUUUUUAAUUGUGCCGUAAUGACCCUUGUAGAUUAGUUCGGUCGAAAGAUCGCUUCCUGGUCAAAUUCUCGAGUCAUAUGCAUUAGAAUUUCUUAACGGCUUCACCUGAUAGACUAGUUUUCACAUGAGUGGCCGACUCAAGGAAAAGAACUAUAUGCAUGCCAACGAAAUGCCUGUCUCAAUUUAUUGAAAAUAGAAUUUCGUCCCCUCUUAUAAAAAUUUCGUUAACGAAAUGCCAACGGGAUGUCACAACUCUUCCCCUCUUAUAAAAAUUUCGUCCUCAAAAUUUAAACUUUUACCAAUUCUUAAACAAAAAGGUGCGGGUACAGUCGUCUCAUAUAAUCUUCUCUUUCUCAGGUUGCUCCUUCUGUACCAAUGCUGAUAGAUCACUACCAUCUUGCCCAAACCACUUCGGGUCCAAAAUACUAAACACUUGCCCACUUAAAAUUCCAAAGGUCUUCAACACAAAAUCUACGAAGCUAAACUGGCGAUUCUGAGCAAUCUUUAAACUGUCUCUGAUAAAUGCGACUGAAUCACUGAUUUCUGAACCAACUCUGGACGUGCGAUUUUCUAAUAUCUGAUCUCAUCUCAACCGACUGAAGUCCUGUACAAUCUGCUCUACACUGAUUAAAAAGAAACUAUCUGACUGAUCUACUGAAACUGGGAACCUCUGGUCAAGAUCUAACAUAACUCUGACACUAAUCUCGGCAACUGCAAUCACUGACUACUGUACUGACCCUAGCCUAAGAUCUUUCUUUCCCCAACUUCACCUCAACAAUCGAAAUUCCGCACUCUCUGCUAUGCACUGUUUAAGAAAGAACCAUCUGAAAGCUCUGCCAACUUGGAACAUCUGAUCUAGAUUUGAAAUACAAUUCAUCCCCAACACUCCAUGCCGGUGAUUUAUAUGAUAUACACACACUUCGGUAUAUCUAUUCUAAUCGAGAUCCUUUCAUGUUGCACUAAGGUGAGUUGACUCUGUUCAUCUGUUGACCACAACCCUGUAAGGAAUCAAUACUCUUCCCGACUCCUUGAUAAUUUGUCAUAACAUUCCAUCAUGCUGCACUUCCAUUCCCACACAAGACUCUCUCAAGUGCUUGAAAAAAAGCUUUCCUGGCUUACGCUACCAAAUUCUCACUUACUGAUAUAUCCAACACUUACAACUUGUUCAGCGAUAUCUAUCUUCAUACCGAUCUACCAAUCUCGAUGGUGUAGAUUCUAACUCAUCUUUGUACUGUCUAGACAACGCUGAAGUUGCUAUGAUGAGCUCCCCAUAACAUCUCUUCUUUAAUCUCUAUAUCGUUAAUUACACACAAUCGUCCUCGGAACCUUAUCAUCCUAUCUUCAUAAAUCUGAAAAUCAACCUCUCUCAUUUGCAUUCUCUUAUAGAGUCUUCUGAAUUUCUAAAUCUAUCCGCUGAAGCAUUUUGAUUCUGAUAUGAACUUUCGGCUCAAUUCUUUCUAGAGUGAUAUAAAAUAUCAUAGUCGUAAUCCUUAAUGAGUUCCAUCCAGCGACGCUAUCUCAUAUUCAACUCCCGAGGUCUCAACUGACGGAACGCAUAUGCAACAACACUAUUUUGCUGCAUCAACAAGCAACCAAAUCCUUUAAACGACGCUUCAUUACAGAUCUCAUAACCUUCAGGACUAGAUGGAAUGGUCAGUACAGGUGUGAUAGUCAGCUUAUGCUUAAGCUCUUGAAAACAACACUCGCACUCAUCUGUCCACACAAACUUUUCUUACUUCAUCAGUGGUCGAAUCAACUGCAACGCUGAUGUUGAAAACCCUUCCAUAAAACUUCUGUAAUAUCCUGCUAAUUCCCAGAAAUUUCCAAUCUCUAUCACUACAGUCAAUCUCGGCCAACUGAUCACUGCUUCAAUCUUGGACGAGGUCUACGGAGAUUCCUUCUCCUGAAAUCACAUGACCUAGGAACGCCACACAAGUCAUCCAAGACUCGCAUCUGCUAAGCUUAUUGAAAAAUCCAAAAGUACUCGAGGUUUGAAGUACCAUCCCCAUAUGUCUCUCGUGCUCCUCAGCACUCUUUGAACACAGCAGGACAACUUCAAUGAACAUGAUCACAACUGAUUCAAGUACCCUUAAACAUUCCGCUCAUUAGACCCAAACAAAUAGCUAAGUUGUCCAUCAAACCACACAGCAUUACAGUGAACUCAUAACUGCCGUAUCAAGUGCUAGAUGCUAACUUCAGUAUGUCUUUCUUCCUGAUUCUCAAUUGAUGAUACCAUGAUCUCAAGUCAAUCUUGAAGAAUAUCAAUGUACAACCACAACGAACCACAUUUCUCCUUCAUGAACAGAACUGGUGCUCCCCAAGGUUAUGCAUUGGAAUGUAUGAAUCCCCUCUUCAACAAUUCUUGUAUCUACACCUUCAGUUCUUUUAACUCGGGUAACACCAUCCGGUAAGGAGCCUUAGGGACUAGCUCUGUUCCAGAGGCUAAUUCAGUCACGAACUCUAUUUUUCUUUCUGACAACAUGCUUGGCAAUUCUUUAGAAAAUACCUUAGGAAACUUCUCUACCACGAUUAUGUUCUCCAUAUUCGGCUUCUCAAUUGACGCAUCCAUUACAAUUGCCAUGUAGAUUCGAUAACCAACAACCUGGACCAAGUCAUCUUCAGUGGCGAAUAAUAAGGAUUGAAGUUCCUCUUCAACUUUCAGUAAUUCAAAACUUUCAUACGCUAACUGAAUAAAUUGAAUUAUAUCACUGCGACGAUUCAUAACAGUAGAAAGCUCCUCGAGCCGAACCUUUUCAUAAAUGACUUCCAAGUCAUACUUAAGCAAACUCUUCGAGCAUAACUAUAGUCGGAAAUUCACAUUUCUAUUACUUUAUUACCAAUCCGAAAAUCCUACAACCUUCACUGAAAAUUCUGCUGCACUACUCUGAUAAAAAUAUCUCAAAAAGCAUUCUUCUUCUGAUUGAUGCAUGGUCGAUCCCUUCAUGCUCCUCUAGCCAUCCUAGUGGUGUCCUAUCUGCAGUAACGGUACUUACACUCUCAUGGACUUACGCAGACAAUUCCUAACUCGAUGGCCGUGCUGGCCACAUUCAAAGCAUGCUCCCCUUUUUACUCUAACACUAGGCUGAUUCAAGCCUCUUUUCCACAAACUCGGCACACAAUCGGUGAGUCCUCUACCUCCCAUCAAGGAACAUCAUGCCCCCUUUCUUGCACUGGGGUCCAUUCCAAGUACCCCAUUAAAUGUCCCGAAGCAUGCUUCUUCUUUCUGUCUUAUCAAUGGCGGUGUCAAGAACAGCUGUGAUUCCAUCUGUCUAUACGGGCAAUCUUUGAUCACAUAACCUUACUGGCGACACCUGUAACAAGUCAUUUCUCUCUUAAAGCACAGAACAGAUCCCCGUCUUUUUUUACAAACACAACACACAUCGAUCAAGCUGAGCACUGACUUUCCAAUUCUACUCUUCUGGUUGGGUGAAAUAGGGCACCUUUCUUCUGACAUCAGCCUUUCUCCCUAAUCAAUUUCCAUCUCUGUCUAAAUUGAAACUUGUCUUAAAUGCAGCGGCUUGAUCCUCGAUCACAACUCCAGAUUGAGCCUCAACAGGCACGGCAACAACAACGGUUACAACACUGGCAACGGUAGAAACAACGGCAAUAGCGGUGGCUCGGUCCUGAGCUUACUGACCCAACAAGCUUCUAAGGAACACUAGCGCUUUAACGAUCCCAUCAAACCUAGGAUCGCUUGGUGCUGUUACACUCUCAAUACCAGCCUACGGCGGUACUCUCACACACACGCUGGUCUAAGCCUGCGCUCUACCUCGGGUACCAACUCUUGUCAGCAUCCUACCCUGAGGUACAGGUCCUAUCGACCUCCUCCAAGGAGUUCUCCACUACUGGUCACUCAUCCUACAGGCUCUUUAUAGACACAUGUUUUCCGAUUCCAACAUCAGGUUAGAAUUUGAGUGACCCCACAAACACAUUACCAAACAUCUAUCAACCACAUGCAUCCGCAUAUUAAAAGCCUUUACUACUAACUAUCCCAUGACUCAUCGCACCUUAUCACUCCAUACACAGACCAUGCUCUGAUACCACUUAAACGGGGAUGUCACGCCCCGAACCUCGAGCGCGCCAACAUCCCACCAUGGUCAUGCGAAUGUGACGUUCCCAGGUUAAGUCGCCGACCCAAUCAAAUAUUUAAUGCACAUGCGGAAGCAUAUUAUAAAACCCCUGACAGUAAAAUACGAGAUAGAAAAGCAGGAAACAAAAUCACAAUAUAACACUUUCAUAAUUCAACAGAAUUACAAAUAGAGGUCUACGGCCAACAGUCUACAAAAGACCGGCUCUUAAAAAGAAAUUGUCCUACGAUCUACAAGUUGGGCACAUUCUCCAAUCCUCAUGACUUCACCUCUUCUUCUCCUUAAGGCCAACCAAAGUUAUCUAGCCGCUCCCUCCACCAGGGACCUGAAAUUUUAAUCCCACAACCGGAAUGAGACUUUGUCUCAGCAAGUUCAACCCCCUAAACCCUUAUUAGAAAGAAAAUACGCCCCGGGUGGCCUAGCCACAUCACACAGAAGACUUACCUCGCAUUAGCCUCAUCUGUAAGUUAGCACAAUUUAUAUAAUUCAACCACGUGCAAUUAUGAUAACCAAACAACCAUGGCACACUCACAAUAUCAGAACAAUUCAACCACUUGGAUCGUCUCAGCGAUCAAUCGACUCGGCCGAUUACAUGUCAUUCUAACAAAUCAAUCACUACCUCCAAUCACAACCCUAUAUGAAGGUUUGACAACCAGUGGCAAUCACGGCCUCACUUGGCACGACCUCUAAUAGGUGGUCAAUCACGGCCUCACUGGGCACGACCUCUCAUAGGUGGUCAAUCACGGCUUCAUUGAGCACGACCUCCAAUAGGUGGUCAAUCACGGCCUCACUAGGCAUGACCUCUCAUAGGUGGUUCAUCACGGCCCUAUUAGGCACGACCUCUCAUAGGUGGUCCAUCACGGCCUCACUGGGCACGACCUCUAAUAGAUGGUCAAUCACGGCAAAUCUCCCAUCAAUUCCCACACUUAGGAUUUUAUAAAGAAUCCCUAUUUAUCGCAAUCACACUCAAUUUGCCACGAUCAAUCAUCAGAUUCAAAUUCUAAAUACACAGCAGUGAUUGGCACGAAAUUAUGAGAGUUUAGGGUCCCGACGAAAUUUUCGAAUUUUAAUAAAUAAUUAAAUUUAUUCCGAAAAUUAAAUAAAUAAUAAUAUCUAUAUUUUUCGCAAUCCACACUCAAUUUAUAAUAUCUAACCAUCAAUUUCAAAAUCCGAAUACACAGCAGCGAUCGGCACGAAAUUCUGAGCAACUGGGGUCAAAAAUAAUUUUUCCGUUUUUUUUAAUAAUAAUAUUUUAAUAAUUUCGGAAUAUAAUAUAAUAUUAUAAUUUCAAGAAUUUCGAAACAAUUAAAUAAUUCAAAACUAAAACCCUAUUAUGUCCCAUCAAGGUUUAUUAUUAAAUAAACUAUCUUAGCCUUUAAUUAAACACACUUUAAAUUAAACAAACCUUUUAAUCCAAAUCACAAUUAAAUAAACUAAAAUAUCCACCUAAACUUGCUUAACUUAGACUAAGUACACUUAGGACAUAAUUAACCAUCUAAUCAAGGUUUAGUGAGCUAACUCACCGGAUUAGCAAGCCGAGCGGACCAAAACGACGAGGACGACGAGAGGAUCGACUUUCCUCAAGGCGGGCUAAGCAUUCGGGCUCGGGAAGACUGCCAAAACGAGCCAAACACAGGCUGCCAUACCCACUAAAACCAGCUGCUGUCCAAGCUCGAAGGAGGGCCGUCCGGCGGCGGUUCGGACGCGAAAUCGGUGAAGGAGGACGGCGGAUGCUCGAACGGUUGCUACCGGUGGCUCCGGCGGCUUUCCGGUGAUCUUGGCGACAGCGGACAGCUUGGGACGACGAAGGAUGAUGGCUGGGAUGCGCGGACGAAGGGAAGAUGGCACGACGGUGGAACGGCGGACGCACACGCGAGGCUUCACGUGCGAACGGGUGGCAACGGCGAUGGCUUCGGCGACGUGCGGCGGCAUCGAGCGAGCGGAGGGGGGCGUGCGUGCGGGCUGGGCGAGCUGCUGGUUCCGUUCACCCCUCUCUCUCUCCUCUUUUUUUUAAAAUCCAACAAGCUUCCUUGAUUCAAGGAAUAAGAUGAUGAUGAUAGGUCACCUUUCCAAGAGCAAAUCCUCACCCUCCACUUGUCAACAUCCUAGCCACUCUUGCCCCCACACCAUGACAUCACCAAGUGAUGUCAUACUCCACUAACUCAAUCUUCCCACAACAAUAUUCAAUAGGUGCAAUUUAUUUUUCCGCCGGGGCAUGAAACUUUGUACAACCAAUUCUUCAAUUCCACUUGAUUCUCUUCUAAUUGAAUUAAAUUGAAGUCCAUAAAAUUAAUCCAAUGUCACCACACUUCAAUUCACAUCUUCACUUGUCCAUAGAACCAACUUAAGUCCCAAAAGCGCGACCAAAAGCGGCCUACUAAUUUCUAGAGCCAAAUUAGCCAUUUUUUGAUUAUUUUGCCGAAAAGCUCGGCUUGCAUGAAAAAUCUUCCGAAGAUUAAUCAAUGUUCCUAAAAUGAUUUGUGACACACCCAAACUUCCAAUUUCUGAAUUCGAUCUUAAUUCCACGGUUAAUUUUACUUUGGCACGAUACUAGCGCGGUCCAACCUACCGGGUAGCCUUUAGGAAUUUUCAUGCAUUUGACCUGUGGUUGAUCAUCUCAAGCCACAAUGUAGAUCUUUGAAACAUUGGCGACUUUCGGUUGUCGGGAUAAUCUCAAGGUUUCAAAUAUGAACACAGGGUACCCAAUCGACAGAAAAGUCGGUCCAGUGCCGAUCGACAAGAAUUGUGCGAUCUGGUGGAAUCACCCACACCUGAUCACAUGCCUCUGUCGAGUCGACCUAUCUCCAAUCUUUAAUCGAUUUUUAAUUGUGCCGUAACGACCCUUGCGGAUUAGCUCGGUCGAAAGAUCGCUUCCUGGUCAAAUUCUCGAGUCAUAUGCAUUAGAAUUCUUAACGGCUUCACCUGAUAGACUAGUUUUCACAUGAGUGGCCGACUCAAGGAAAAGAACUAUAUGCGUGCCAACGAAAUGCCCGUCUCAAUUUAUUGAAAAUAGAAUUGAAAAAUCGGGAUGUCACACCAGCGGUCCGAACGGUGGCCGGAGAUGGUCAAACAAUUGUCUGUGGUGGCCGAACAGGGGCUAGGCAGAGGCGAACAGGGCUGUCUCACAUGGGGAAGGGGCGCCUGGGCAGAGGAGAGGGCAAGCGGCGCACGGCGGCGAGCGGCGAACGCGGGGGCGUGCGGGCGUGGGCGACGGGACAGGCGGCGACGGCGAGCUGCAGCUUCUGCUCGAGCUUCUGUCUUCGUUCGCUGGAAUGCGUGGAAGGGAGAAGGAGAGAGAGUGCGAGAGAGAGAAAGAGAGGGAGAGAGAGAAGAUGAGGAUUGACCAGUCAAAAUGAAAAGAGAGAGAGAGAGAAGUCGGUGGGGGAAAGCUAUCCGCACGAAGGGGGAGGGAAAGGGGAGAGAAGAGAGAGAGAAAAGAGAAGGGAGAGAGAGAAAAAAAGAAAAAGUAAAUAAUAUUAUUUUUCUUAUUUUAUUUUAUUUUCUCUUUCCCUUUUUAUUUUCUUUUGGCCUUCAAUUUUUCCUCCGAUAAUUUCUUUAUUGAAAUUUCGGACUCGUCAAUAAUUUGACGGAUGAUGAGACAGGAUCCUAAAAAUAAAUUGUGACACGCUCGAUUAUUCGAUUCCCAAAACCAAAUUAAAUUUCAUGGUUAGAAUCAAUCAAACGCGAUUUUAGUCCAAUCUAACUAAUUGAGUAACUUUUAGGGAUUUUACUGUAGAUACAUCCCUUAACGGCUUCACCCAAUGGGUUAGUUAACUCGUGAGUGAUCAGCUCAGAGAAAAAGGACCAUAAGCACGUUGACGAAAUGCCAAUUUCAUUUUAUCGAAACAGGGUCGAAUUUUAAGAUGUCACACAGCCAAGAAGGAUAAAGAACCUGUGGUGGAGGUUAAUGCAGUUUAUGUUCAACUACCUCGCUCUACCUCGAACACCCAACAAGGAGGAGCAUGACCAUUCUUUGGCCAGCUAAAAAACUUUUCCAAGCAUCAAUUUACACCAUUUCCUAAGCCAUCGUCCAAGAUCUUGCCAACCCUUUAGAAGAACGGAUUAUUCGCUAAGGAGACUAAGUGAUCUAAUCCCGAACGUUUCCCCAACUAUGAUCCAUCCAAGACAUGUGCUUAUCAUAUGGGAGAGGUAGGGCAUUCUGUUGACGAUUGCUAUAUGUUGCAACACAAAAUCCAAAAUCUUUUGGAUGCUAAGGUGAUCUCAUUCCGUGAUGCACAGUUGAACAUCCAUAAUAACCCACUCCCUGACCACCCAGAAGCUGUGAAUGCCAUUUUCAGUUUUGAUACUAAGCCCACUAUGUUUCAAAUGAUUCAUGAAAAAGCAGAAGUGAUGGACACCCUGGGGCAACAAAGUGGCAAAUUCGAUUACUAUGUAAAGUAUUCGGCUCUUCCCAACUCCUACUUCGACCCACGAGAUAUCAUCCCAGAUGGAUGGGGGUGGCAUAGAUGAUCCUACACCUCCAAGAUUGAGAGCUUUGAUGACACACUCAAAGGAUGACUGAAUUGUUGAGAUAUUUAGUGUUUGCCAUCGACAANNNNNNNNNNNNNNNNNNNNNNNNNNNNNNNNNNNNNNNNNNNNNNNNNNNNNNNNNNNNNNNNNNNNNNNNNNNNNNNNNNNNNNNNNNNNNNNNNNNNNNNNNNNNNNNNNNNNNNNNNNNNNNNNNNNNNNNNNNNNNNNNNNNNNNNNNNNNNNNNNNNNNNNNNNNNNNNNNNNNNNNNNNNNNNNNNNNNNNNNNNNNNNNNNNNNNNNNNNNNNNNNNNNNNNNNNNNNNNNNNNNNNNNNNNNNNNNNNNNNNNNNNNNNNNNNNNNNNNNNNNNNNNNNNNNNNNNNNNNNNNNNNNNNNNNNNNNNNNNNNNNNNNNNNNNNNNNNNNNNNNNNNNNNNNNNNNNNNNNNNNNNNNNNNNNNNNNNNNNNNNNNNNNNNNNNNNNNNNNNNNNNNNNNNNNNNNNNNNNNNNNNNNNNNNNNNNNNNNNNNNNNNNNNNNNNNNNNNNNNNNNNNNNNNNNNNNNNNNNNNNNNNNNNNNNNNNNNNNNNNNNNNNNNNNNNNNNNNNNNNNNNNNNNNNNNNNNNNNNNNNNNNNNNNNNNNNNNNNNNNNNNNNNNNNNNNNNNNNNNNNNNNNNNNNNNNNNNNNNNNNNNNNNNNNNNNNNNNNNNNNNNNNNNNNNNNNNNNNNNNNNNNNNNNNNNNNNNNNNNNNNNNNNNNNNNNNNNNNNNNNNNNNNNNNNNNNNNNNNNNNNNNNNNNNNNNNNNNNNNNNNNNNNNNNNNNNNNNNNNNNNNNNNNNNNNNNNNNNNNNNNNNNNNNNNNNNNNNNNNNNNNNNNNNNNNNNNNNNNNNNNNNNNNNNNNNNNNNNNNNNNNNNNNNNNNNNNNNNNNNNNNNNNNNNNNNNNNNNNNNNNNNNNNNNNNNNNNNNNNNNNNNNNNNNNNNNNNNNNNNNNNNNNNNNNNNNNNNNNNNNNNNNNNNNNNNNNNNNNNNNNNNNNNNNNNNNNNNNNNNNNNNNNNNNNNNNNNNNNNNNNNNNNNNNNNNNNNNNNNNNNNNNNNNNNNNNNNNNNNNNNNNNNNNNNNNNNNNNNNNNNNNNNNNNNNNNNNNNNNNNNNNNNNNNNNNNNNNNNNNNNNNNNNNNNNNNNNNNNNNNNNNNNNNNNNNNNNNNNNNNNNNNNNNNNNNNNNNNNNNNNNNNNNNNNNNNNNNNNNNNNNNNNNNNNNNNNNNNNNNNNNNNNNNNNNNNNNNNNNNNNNNNNNNNNNNNNNNNNNNNNNNNNNNNNNNNNNNNNNNNNNNNNNNNNNNNNNNNNNNNNNNNNNNNNNNNNNNNNNNNNNNNNNNNNNNNNNNNNNNNNNNNNNNNNNNNNNNNNNNNNNNNNNNNNNNNNNNNNNNNNNNNNNNNNNNNNNNNNNNNNNNNNNNNNNNNNNNNNNNNNNNNNNNNNNNNNNNNNNNNNNNNNNNNNNNNNNNNNNNNNNNNNNNNNNNNNNNNNNNNNNNNNNNNNNNNNNNNNNNNNNNNNNNNNNNNNNNNNNNNNNNNNNNNNNNNNNNNNNNNNNNNNNNNNNNNNNNNNNNNNNNNNNNNNNNNNNNNNNNNNNNNNNNNNNNNNNNNNNNNNNNNNNNNNNNNNNNNNNNNNNNNNNNNNNNNNNNNNNNNNNNNNNNNNNNNNNNNNNNNNNNNNNNNNNNNNNNNNNNNNNNNNNNNNNNNNNNNNNNNNNNNNNNNNNNNNNNNNNNNNNNNNNNNNNNNNNNNNNNNNNNNNNNNNNNNNNNNNNNNNNNNNNNNNNNNNNNNNNNNNNNNNNNNNNNNNNNNNNNNNNNNNNNNNNNNNNNNNNNNNNNNNNNNNNNNNNNNNNNNNNNNNNNNNNNNNNNNNNNNNNNNNNNNNNNNNNNNNNNNNNNNNNNNNNNNNNNNNNNNNNNNNNNNNNNNNNNNNNNNNNNNNNNNNNNNNNNNNNNNNNNNNNNNNNNNNNNNNNNNNNNNNNNNNNNNNNNNNNNNNNNNNNNNNNNNNNNNNNNNNNNNNNNNNNNNNNNNNNNNNNNNNNNNNNNNNNNNNNNNNNNNNNNNNNNNNNNNAGGAUAACUCGCGGAAAGAGUACGACAACUAAAAUGAUGAUGGGCAGUUCAUUUCUCUACUAGUGAAUCCUUGUUUAAACCUUCUUUGAGCCUAAAUACUUGAAGAAUUUCUUUCAUACUACCUCUGUCAAGGACAACCCCACGUCGGGGCAAAUGGAGGUAAGUUGACAUUGGAGAGUAAAAUAGAUAGAAAUUUUCUUACUUUCACUUGCAUCAAUCUUCAAGUUGUGCUAUUACAUUGAAUUCAUGUGAUAAUUUAAGUGCCUUAGGAUGACGAAGAGCAUUUCUUUCACUAUCCUACACACUUAUACCAUUUGCAUAGCCCACUUGAGCCUGCAAUUUCAUUUUUUUAAACGCAGUUGGUGAUCAUCCCCCACACUGGGGUAGGGCAAAGAAAAUCAUUCGAGUAGCAUGGUCUAAAAUGCUUAUGAAAGAAGACUGCGUGAGUCCAAAGAAAAUAAGUGCAAAAACUGAGGGGCAUGAAAAAACAGUAUGCCUGAUAAAAGCAAGGCCAAUGUCCAUGAAAAGAAGAGAGAAAUGACUGAUGAAUUGGGGGGCAUAAAAAAAGUGAUGUGCCUGAUCGAUGCCCAUCAUCAAAGAAUAUGAUUUUAAAAGAAAAAAAAUAUUGAGAAAAGAUCUCCAGUUGAAUAAUCAUUGGCAUCAGGUGAUAAACUCUUGAGCCAAUAAAGAAAUCUGUCAAGAAGACAAUUCAUGGUGAAGAAAACUGGUGGCAAUAUCAAGAUAAUUACCAACUCUCACCCUUUACACACAUUUUGAGCCUAACGAUCCUUUCGUUUCUCAGCCCAUGAACCCAGCCUAUGUUACGUCCCUUACAAAGUCUCUUUAGAUUAGGGCACUUGAAUUAACAUGGGAGUUCACAUGUUUUAAGCAUUGCUCGAAGAAGUGCGAGCAAUAUUAUUUCUUUCUCAUUUUGCAGGGUUCUUGAUUUGUAAACCCGAAUAUGAUUACAAAAUUGUUCUUUCAAUAACCUUGACUCCAAGAGUCCCUUUUGCUAAUCCAUUAACCAAACCCACAUUACAAUAUCUGUCAAAGACCUCUCAGAUUGGUAAGGUCAUACUGCUUGCAAGAAAAUUCGAACUCUUGUCGACAAGAGGAUGAUAAGAUAGAGUGAUAUAUUCCCGCAUCAAUGGUCGGGACAAAUAACCCCUCCUAAAUGAGAGUGAGUGAAAAAGUCUUUCACACCAAAGGUGUCUUAUUUAGAAUGUUCAAGACAUUCACAGCUUAGUGAAAAUUGUCUUAAUGAUAAAUUUUUUCCGGUGGAAGUUUGAAAAAAUCAUCAUACAUGGACCUUCAUUGAAUUUUAAAAAAAAAAUGAAAUGAAUUUCUUCAAAGACCAAAGGAUUUGUCUUUAAAGCCCUGGGUUUGUUCAAUCAUAUUUGAAUACUUGAUAUGGCUUCCAAGUGUUUGUCUUUUCAAACAUUUGAUGUAAUUUCCAGAUGUUUAGUAAAAUUUCAAAUGUCUGAAAUGAAUUUUUCCUCAAAGACCAAAGGAUUUGUGUUUGAAUACUUGAUGAGAAUUCCAAAUACCCAUAUUUUCAAAUGUCUAGUAUGAAUUCCAAAUAUUUGAACCUUUAAACGCUUGAUGUGACUUUCAAAUGUUUGUCUUUUCAACAUCUGAUGUGAUUUCUAGAUGUUUAGUAAAUGUUUUCAAAUGUUCAGUGUGAAUUCUAGAUAUUUGAACCAUUAAAUACUUGAUGUGACUUCCAAGUGUUUGUCUUUUCAAACAUCUGAUGUGAUUUCCAAAUGUUAGUAAAUGUUUUCAAAUGUCUGACAUAAGAAUUAGAUUUUUGAAAGUUUAAGUACUUGAUGCAAUUUCCAAGUGCUUGGGAUCUGAUGGGAGUUCUAGAUCCCUAAAGACUUUGAGCCUUUCAAUUAUCUAAAGAGAUUUCCAGAUGUUUGUCAGAUCUUAUAGGAAUCAUUUCACACCUAAUAAUACGUUUCUGAAUCUCCAGAUAAGUAUGGCAGGUACAUGUUCUUCUUUGCAUUUGCAUUUCAUUGGACGUGAACACAUUGAGAUCUACGUUCUUGACCAAAUCAUUGCAUUUACAUGGCAUUCUUUAUUGCAUGACCUUGCAUUUAUUUGAGUCCAUUUCUUAAAAAAAAAAAAAAGUCAUUACAAUUAACAUUUGCAUAUUCAUUUCAUAUUCAUUUUACAUGGUUUAAAUUUAGGCGUCAUUUAUCUUUGAAGGAAACCUCUACGAGCUUCCCUUCAAAGAGGGGCAACUAUUGACACAUAAUAUUUUAGAAAAUAAUAAAUAAAAUAAAAAUUCGGUUUUGGAAAUUUUUUGUUGAAAAUAUAUCUUCAUUUCAAAAUUCAAAAAAAUUCAGUUUUUAUUUGAUUUUGGAGCCUUUUUAUUGUUGGAGUUGUUGAGUGAAUAUCUCACUCGCAAAAACAACUUUGAGCCUUCCUCUAUAAAUAAAAGGGCGAAGUUUCGGAACCAAAGGGGGGCUCCUUCAUUUGGUUUUCGAAAAGUUCACAAAAGAAAACAGAGUUUUGGUAAGGAGAAAAGUCAAAAGAAAAAAGGUGGAGAGAAGAGAAGAUACAGAGAGAGAUGACGUGAGGGAAAGCAGAAAAGUGAGAGUGAGAGAGACAUGUGAGAAAUAGUGUCAGGUGAGAGAAAGUAAAAAAAAAGGCAAAAAGAUGGACUACUGUUCAUCUUCCUCGUGAGUUUUUGUCCCUGCUACCUAUUUCCUCUGUGCUACCAAGACUGCUGCCGCUGCUCUUGAGCCCCCCAGUCGUUGGUUCCCUGCUCUGUCUCGCCGCAUCAAUAUCACCCAGAUUCACCGGAGAUCUGCUCUCUGCUCCACCAACAACCACACCACCGUUCGAAGCCCGACAAUCGCCUCGACGCCGACGCUUCUGCUCUGCUUUCACUGACAUCGCUUGACGACCCACGCCACCUCCACUUCGCUCGACGCCGCGAGCAGCAACCUGCUCAUUUCCACUUGUAGCGCCGCUCGAACAUCGCCACCACCGUCGCUCGAUGCCCAACGCUCUGCCCGACGAUCACACUAGUAGCCCGCGCUGCUCCGCCUCCGCUCGAUGCCCAACGCUCCUACAGCACCUCCGUCCGCGACCGCCCGGUGUCCGAUGCCCCCUCCUCUGUGCAACGAUUCUGCAGCCGCUCCGCACCUCCUUGCUGCUGCGUCCGCCAGCCCCGUGUCCUUCGCCUCUAUUCGUUGCUACACGCCCGAACAAGGCCACUUGUUGCCUCCCCUGUUUUGCUGCAGGUCUGGUUACUGUCGAACCUUGCCAGAGCUCCGACGGACAACCCCAGCUCCGACCACCGGGACCCAUCACCCUUGGCGAGUCACCAUCGCAACUUAGCCAUUACUGCUUCCUCGCCAUUUCUUCCAGUCUACCGUGAGUUAGACUAGGUGAACUUUUAUAUUUGAUUUCAUGUUUUUUUUAUUAUUUUAACUUGAUUUAUUUUGAUUUAUUUUUAUUAUCUGAUUAGGAAAUUUGUCAUAUUAAGCCAUGAUAAUCAAAAAUAUUGAACCGCGAGACAGCGGGUUAGAUUUUUGAUUAUUUCAACUUUUUAUGACAAAUUUAUGGUUUGCUUUGCAUUAUUGACUCGCAUUAAAAUAUAUGUCAUUGAUAUACAUUGAUGGAUUAUAUUUUGGUGCGUUAUCAUUAUUUGCUCCUCACAUAUUAUGCAUAUCUAGAAUUAAAUACUUAGGUCCAUAUGCAUUUUAUAUUUAAAGCUUUGCAUUUUUAAGAUUCAUAUAGAAUUAGGAUGAUUUUCCUUUAAUAAAACCAAAAAAAAAAAGAGAAUAAAAAAAUGUUAUUUAGAUCAUAUAAAGCACACCACAUGUUGCACUCUAGUUAGUGGGUCAUAGAUUAAUGUUUUAAUACUCCCAUCAUGUAGUUUUUUUAUUAAUAAAAAAAGCCAAAGAUUAUUAUUGCAUAAUUAUGUUGUUUUAAUAAGAUUAUUAAGUAAUUUAAAAAAAAAGAUAAAAAGAAAAAAGAAAACACAAAAUGUCAUUUAUUUGGUUAGUUAAUAAGUUAGUUCAUAAUUAAUCCCAUUUUAUGUCAUCAUUGUUUAGUGUAGGUUGCAUACAUUAAAAAAAAUCAUAAAAAAAAAUCAUAAAAAGAACAUGCAUAUAGAAUUAUUAUGUCAUUCAUCCCAUAUCAUGUAGUACAUGCAUAUUUAGGAUUAUAUAAAUUAGAUUGCACACAUAUGGUGAUAGUUCAAAUUAUGCCAUAUAAAUCGCAUUUCAUAUAUCAUUAAAGUAAAACUCAUGCAUAUUAAGUUUAGGUUAAGAUUGCAUAAUAAUAAAAAUUAGGUGUCAUUUAGAAAUCAUGUUUAGAGCAUGCAUUUUUAUUAGCAUUUUUUAUUGAUUGUUAUUUUAUUGAUUGUGCACCCGCAUGACCACCAUUUGCAUGUUAGUAGCUUAAGUUAAAAUUAAUCGACAUUGCCUGCAAAAUAGUUUUGAAUUUAAUAUAAAAGGUACCGAAAAGGCGUUACACUAAUCUAGCGUAACCAUGUCCCCGGACCUACUGAAUCUCUGGUUCGCAAAAGUAAAGUAUUCUCCCAUACUUUACUUGGGUUUCUAGCCAACCUUAAUUGGUUAGUGGCGGCUCCAAAUUGAAUAUAAUUGCAUGUAUUUCUUAAUAUCAAGUAGUGAUUUGUAGGAUUUGGGUGGGUCCGUGCCAAGUUUUCGGACUUAGUAAUCCAUUAGCCUUCUUUAGGUAAUUCACCCUUGGGAAGGUCGUGACAACACGACCGAUGAAUUGGUGGAGAGUGCCGCGAGCGAUGGGUCUGGGAAGAGGUUUGCUGUCAAGGACACUAACAUCUCGAGCUCGAAGCGGCUAUACACGCUCGCUCAGUGCACGCCGGACUUGACGUCAGCGGAGUGCAAGGCGUGCUUGCAAGGGGCCGUCAAGAAUCUGCUCACAGAUAAUGAAAGAAGGAGAGUGUUGGCCCCGAGCUGCAAUGUUAGGUUUGAGCUUUACCAGUUCUAUAAUGAGACUGUCUUCCAUGAAGCAUUGGCACCGGGGCCAACACUUGCUCCACCUCCUGCGGCGGUUGUAGCUGCUCCUCCGUCUUCAACAGUGAGAUCUAAAGGAGCCAGAGUUAUGUCUUCUGGGGUUCUUUGUACCGCCGGCGUAGUGUUUUUCCUUUUUUCCUUUUUGAGGGUGACGAUAAGUUGGGGUUGUUGAAGUAGAGUUACUUUCCGUUCAGUGUAAUAACUGAGGACAGAAUAAUGAAAAAAAGUACGUGAGUACCCACAGUUCUUGAAUGUGACUCGUUUGAGGACAAGAUGAGCAGAUGCAAUCCUCCAUGGUAGGAGAGUAUGCUGGAAAUAUACCAGGACUCAUCUAUUAAAUUUAAAUAAUGUGCAGAUCUAAGCGUGCUUAUACGAGCGGAUUAAUUUAGAUAUGCAAAAUUUACCACAUCACUUAACAAGUGAAUUUAGCAAGCAACUUGUAGUAUUCCUCGUUGCUAAUAGCAUGUGUUGAAAAAGUAUGUUGAGUUCAGCCAAACUCGUCCUCAGUCUCAUUUAACUUUAAUCGGAUAAGUUUUAGGGGUUUCUGUUGGGCCUUUUUAAAUGUCGACACCAAUCCCUUUACUUUUGUCCUGAAAUCAAAAUCGCCCCUCCUUUUUUCCUUUUUAUUUUUUGGUUGGGAGGAAAGGUUUUGGGUGGGGAUGAUUUCGAUUUUUUACUUGUGUUAAUCAGUGUUCACCAUGUGGAAACUAGUAGAACGAGUUUGGAUAUUAUUUUUGCAUUGGGUUUGCUUGUUUUUUGGGUAUCUCCCUAUCACUUCAUGAUGGUUGCGGCCUCUGCUACUUACCACCGUCGUUCAGCGAGGUCCACUCUGCCAAUUUUUUAUCUUUAUCAUCUAUGGAUAUAGCUAGAUUGUGGAUUUCAUCACGAUAAACCUAGCCGAAGCUUAUCUAUUGCAUCUCAUCACUCAUCAAGCUCGCCGGAGCUUGAGCCACCAUGGUCACCACCGGGGGAGUGGCAAGCUAAGGUCUCAUGGCUUUUUAGGCCAUCCUAUCACUGCAACUAAGUUAAUCUAGCAAAUUAUUUACCACGUGUAUGAUAAACCAUCAAGUUUUUACAAGUAGUAAUUACAGCCAAAGCUGGCCCACGGUAUAUAGCCAGAGACUUUCUCACAACCUUUUUCUAGAAAACCUUAAUUUGACCCGGCAGCUUCAACAUUUUAUAAAGACCAUUCCCAUUGAAAGAUCAACUUUAAUUAUUCUAGCUUGUACGGUCGGUUCAUCUUUUGAUCUAGUCUUUCCCAGAAAAAAAAAAUAUAUAUAUACGCACUUGCAAAAGGCAAAUGGGGAUCAUCAUCCUUCUGGCAAAUUAAUUUUCUCAAUUUAAGUUUUUAGUAAUUAUUCGUCAUUAUCCUCUAAGACGUUAGGUAGAUUCCAUAUAAUAAUUGUUUGCCUCUCAUUCCAACUACAGAGAUCAAAUCCAAUAAUAUUAGGAUACUUUUUCAGCACAAAAGUCACUGAUCUCCUUACAAAUAACUAAUUAAUUAUGAAUUUAUCGACAAAUAACCGAGCUGUUGAGAUAAUAACAGUGCUUAUGUAUCUAUUUAUCUAUUAUGUCAUGAAAAAAAGCGGUUCCUACUUUUGAUUAGACCAAAAAGCCAGAAAAAAAAAAAAAGAACUAUGUACAUAUUGCACUUCGAUCAUGUUAACGUUGAUUAAACGUAUUAUCAAAUGGAAACUUGUAUAUGAAGGGGAAGGACGAAAAUACUAAGUGGAGUGAAGUCAAAUCUGUUGUCGUUUGCAAAUCACUUGGGCCUACAUCCCUAUCCUUGACUAAUCUUUCCAAGUCUCCGCUCGACUUUGACAACGAAACGGUCCAAGCUCACUCCACAUCAUUUAGCUUUCGAGAACCCACGGCAGCGUUAGUCGAAUUCAAUCCAUGCCGCAAGUCUCGUGACCACUAACGUCAACGCUCAUGUGAAUAUAAUUAUUAUGUUUAUUUUGUAUCUAUAUUAUAAUAAAUUCGUACCAUCAAAUUUGGUAGUUUUUUUUUCUAGCUCACCCAUAUAUAUAUAUAUCAUGUUUACGUUUUGCUAGACUUCUAGAAUGAUGAUGAAUGUUUACCAUAAAUGGACUCACCUCUCGAUGGUAUGAUAGUGUCAUUAAAUAAUGCAUGUGGAUUUGAAUCUAACUUACAAGAUGCGCUUUCGAAAGAGUGAUACAAUUUAAAGUUAGGAAUUGCAAUAUUAGACAAUACUUGAUUGAGAAAUAUUAUCAAUUUUAAGUCAAUAUAUGAUAGACAAAACACCAAUAUCUUAAGCGAAUUAGGUUAUUAUGUUACACAGUUGCCUAGAAAAAAAAUCAGUCGUGGUGGAUCUCCCAAAUAAAAUAGGCGUGACUCUAAAGAAACGUUUCGGAGGGGUUUAGGUUUGAUCAUUCCUUACGGUGAUUCAUGGUUGCCUUUAGAUUCGCUUUCAUGUCAUCUCUCUCUCUCUCUCUACAACGACAUCACUGCGAUACAUGUUUCGACUUUUCUUUCUUCCAGUCUCCACGUGGAGCCAAAUUAGAGCGCAAGCCACGCAAUUGACUUCGGUCAACGACCUCGUACGAUGGGCAAAUGCCAAAUGCUGUCUUCCAUCCUCACCGCCGGUCUUACUCUUCUGUCUGCCACCUAACCACAGCUCCGGUCACUUCAGGGAAAAUUCCACACGGUUUGUCUUGCCUUGUCAAAAGUCGUUUUUGACCUGACAAAAGCUGUAUACUAGUCUUUUUCACUGUUCAAGACCGUGGAAAAGUAUCAAAAAAUUUUCAAUUUGUAUUGAUACGAUAUAUUUAUUAUUCGUUGAGACUUUAUCAUUAGAUAUUGAUUAAAAAUCUAUCUCUGUGAGUAUCGGAAUGCAAAUAAUAUCGACAUGAUGCCCAAAUGAAUAAUAAUAUUGUUUUAAUUGAAAAAUCAUCUAGCAAAAUUUUCAUAAAAAUUAAAUAUGUCACAUAAAUAUUAGUUAAGUUUAGAAUAAAUGUGUCAAAAUAUGCAUACUUUAAGAUUUUUUAUGUCAUAAAAAAAUUAAGAUAAAUUUGUCGGAGUAUAAUUUGGGAUUUUUGAUAAUUUUUUCUUUUAUCAACUCUAUAUGUUUUAAAACUUUUAGCUAUGCCUUAUGGAAAUAAAAUUUCAAAUUCUAAGGCAAUGUUUGGUAAGACUGUUUCGCUAUUUUUUUUUUUUUUGAUAAUCCAGGAAACCCCAUAAGCCAGCGACUGGCGAGUAAACCCUGGGGGAGUAAACCCUGGGGGAGCAACUGCAGGACCCAACACCAUAAUACUCCAAGUAAGAAUCUCUAAUAACGCUUUUAAGAUUCGAACUCCUCCCCUUCAUGAGGGGGAGAGAGCCCAAGCCAGCUGCGCCGCUGCAAGUGAUGGUAGUUUCACUUCUUCUUUUUUUGUUAUUUUGCUUUUUGAAAUAAAAAAAAUAGUUUGGUAACGUCAAUUAAUUUUUCAAUUCUUUAGAUUAUAUUAAUGGUUAGGAAAUAAAUUUGGAAAAAAACAAGAAAUAAAAAAAAUUACUUCUUUAUUUCGAGAAACAAAAAGAGAAGUAAGAUUAUUUUAGACACCUAAUACUUGUCUUUACACAAACAACACAAAGUCCGGUCUUUUGAUUCUAUCCGAGUCCCCUUUUUGGAAUAAAAAUAAUAAAUAAAUAAAUAUUCAGAAAUUUAGGAAAAUUUUAGAAAAUAGAUUUUGAGUAGUUUUACUUGAUUUUAGUAUUAAAUCUAGUUUAUAAUUAGUUUAACAUAAAAAAAAAAUGUGAAAAUAUGUUAAUGAAAAUUGGAUUCAAAAUUGAAUAAAUAUUUAGGGUUUUAUUAUAUGAUUUUUUGAAUGCUGUUUUCUUUUAGGCUACGUUUAGCAAUGAUGAUAAAAUUUAUCCUAUCUUACAUUUAGUGUCUGCUCAAGAUAAGAUAAAGUCAGAUAUAAGGACGAUAUAAAUCGAAUAAAAUUAUCUCAUAGAGGAGGUCAAAUAAAAAAUAGAUAGGAUUUAUAAUAUCCAUAAUAAGAAAGUUAUUUUUCUCGAAUGAUAAUCUUCUUAAAUUACAAAAUUAAAAUUAGGCCUCAUAUGGGUGUAUUAUCCUCUUAAUUGAGGUUUAGGGUGUAUUCUCUAAGAUUUUUAUCUCACCCUGUUGUGAGUUACCAAUUUUAGGACCGUAGCGUGGAGGAUCCAAAGCCCGAGGCUAAAGGGUCUAGAGUGUAGAUUUUUUUUUUUUUUUUGGUCAGUCAUACUAUAUUCCUACUCUACACUCACUCUCAGACUUUUGCCCUGCCUCUUGCAGGGCGUGGGAGUCGAAACCCACUCUUGAAACUUACGCGUCCCCUACCCCCAUCCCCCCCUGAGAAGGUGGGGAUUUGAACCCCUCACCUCCCCCUUCCAUAUUGGAAGGGUGGCCACUGGGGCGAACCCCUAGUGGUUAGGUCUAGAGUGUAGAUAGCCUAGAGGUUUCUUUUUGAGUCAGACCUCUUGUGUAUAAACCAAAUGUGUUUAUAAAAUGUGUUUUGAUUAAAUUGAUUAUCCUGCUUUUCUAUCCCAUAUUUGUUUUUUGUCUAAAGAUUAUUUAUUUCGCUUCCACAUGUGCAAUAAAAUGAAUGGGUCAGCGAUGCACUUGAGAACGUUGCAAUUCGAUCGAUCACUGAGAGAUAUGCACACACUCGAGGUUCAGGGCAUGACAAUGAAGGAGAAUUUGAGAAAGAAGAAGAAGAAGUUGAUGUUGGAAGAGGAACAAGGGGCCUCAAAAGUCAAGAUUAAAUAUCUAAAACACUUGAGAGCAACCCCAUAAUUCUUCAGCCAUGACCAACUGCCGAUUUCCCUCCCGAAACUUCUCAAACAAGCCACUUUUGAGGUCCAAAUGUUGCAGCCCCACAGCCCUAUGAAUUUGUUGAGUUCCAUCUUCAAUUUCUUCACAAAUCUUCACCAACUCAAUCCAAUUUGGUGGCCAAAGUGCCAAGGUAGCAGCCCACACAAAUUUCCACAAUUUCCCUCACCAUUUGAUCCAACUUGAAGGCAAAAAAUCUACCAAAGAAUGGCCAUAUGAAUUUCUUAAAUUUAAAUUGUCAAAUUUUGAAUUUUCGCCAAAAAUCAGGGCUCACCAAAAAUUCUUCAAAGGAUGAAACAAUGUCCUAAAAAUAAAUCAUGACAUGCUGGAAUUUUUGAUUCCUGAAACUGGGUUCAAUUUCGUGGUUAAUUUCGAUCGGACGUGAUAUUAGCGUGACCUAACCUACAGGAUAACUUUUAGAAAAUUUUAAUGCGUUUGACCCAUGGUUGAUUAUUUUUUAUCCACAUUGUGCAUCUUCGACUCAUUGGCAACUCUCGGUUGUCUUAAAAACCUCAAAGUUUCAAUUACGAGCACCGGGUAUAGAAUCGACAGAAAAAUUGGUUUAGUACCGUUCGACACAAAUUUUGCAAUUAGAUGGAAUCACCCACACUUUAAUUACGUGCCUCUGUCGAAUCGACCUAUCUCCGGUCUCUAAUCAAUUAUAACAAUGCCAUAUUAACCAUUGCAAAUUAGUAUAGUCAAACAGUCGAUUUCUGAUCGAAUUCUCAAGUCGGUUGUGUUUAUAUUCCUUAAUAACUUCACCUGAUAUAUUUUUUUAUCUUGUGAGUAGCUAACUCGGAGAAAAAGAUUGUAGGCGUGUCAAUGAAAAUCCCAUUUCAUUUGAUCGAAACAGAGUCAAAAAUCAGGAUGUCACAAUGAUAAAGCUCAUUCCUCUAGCAAAGCUCAAGCUUUGUUGGAGCUCAAUUAGGGUCCAUAUAGAAUGAUUGCUUGUUGGGGCAUUAGGAGAGCCAGCAUAGAUGAUGAACACUGCAACUGAGCUACAAAAAUUGAUCCAAGGUGGAGAUUUAUUAGAAUAUUUUGAGUGUCUCAAGAAACCCAAUUUAAGUAAGUUUCCUACUACAAAUAAGUUUUUUAGUUUGAGUGAUUUCCUAGUUUGAGUAGGUUUCAUAAAAGGAGUUUCUUGUUUUGGACAUAAAUAUUAUGUAUAUAGAGCACACAUUAGAGUUAACAAAAAGAUUGUUAAAACUUAAUGUUUGAGAGAUUUCCAAAUGAGAUCUCUAUAUGAGAUUAUGAGACAAAACUAGUACAUUUACUUUGGGAGUAGUUGGGGGCUAAGAAAUUCUUGAGCUAUUGAGCAAUUGUAUACUCGGUACUAUGUGAAUUCAUAAUGGAAGUGGCACACUUUCCUAGUGGAAUAGAUAUUGACACUCAAACUAAACAACAUUUAUUUGAUAAUUUUCCUCUAUCACUUUGGUGCCCCUAGUCUAGUAAUCAUCUACAUGAUACACAAUAAGUUUUUGCGUAGACUUAAUCUAAUUAAUUGUAUCAAUCAUAUAUUAGAAAAUAGCAAGAACAACAAGUCCCGAGUAGAAAAAGAAAAAAAAAACAUUCUUACCACAUGCCAUUAGUAGAACAAGUCUAGAUUCUGAUACUUCUCUACGAUAUUAUUAAGAAUGUACUAUGAUAAAUAGAAUUUGUUACAUGUCAAUUUCCCAUUAAUUAGCUUUACCACUGGGAUACCACUAGGCUGGACUUUGCUUGCAUUUGUAGCCAUUGGAUGACAACCAUUUCAACAUUAGUCACAAAGAUAUAUUGACAAUCCAACGGGUGUAAAUAUUCAGGGCAUGAAUGUCUAACCCCAUAAUUAUUUAACAGAUUUCGCGGUCUGGAUUAGGUUCCAUUUAAUACACGUACUUAGUUUUCCAAAUAGUUCCCACGACAAAGAUAUAUAGGAGAGCAGACCGUGGCUCUUCUUCUUCCCAUAAUUCCAUGCCUGUGCAGCAAGACCUAGGAUUCAUCAACAUAAAAAUGUGUUCUUGCUUCACUAUCUACCUCUCUCCUCUUCUUCUUCAUUAAUUUUGUACGUACUGAAUCAACACCCACGUUUCUACGGCAUUACUGCCCGAACACCACCCUCUUCACUCCCAACUCCGCCUACCAAUCCAACCUCAACACCCUCCUCUCUUCCCUCGCCUCUGCUGGCGCCGAUGGCACUGAUGGCUUCGCCAAUGCUACUGUCGGCCAAAACCAUCCCGACCAGGUCUACUGGCUCUUCCUCUGCCGCGGUGACAUCGACACCUACAUGUGCGGCGACUGCGUGGCCACUGGAAAACAGGAUAUACUCCAAAGAUGCCCCAACCAGCGAGUCUCCGUGAUCUGGUACGAUGAGUGUAUGUUGAGGUACUCCGAUGGGUCCAUCUACUCGGUCAUGGAACAAGUGCCUUCUUUCAAGACGUACCACACCAGGAACAUCACCAAUCCGACCCAGUUCAUGCUAGUCCUGGGAGAGACAAUGGAUGACAUCGCUGUGAGGGCCUCAGUCGGCAAGUCAGGGAAGAAAGUUGCGGUCGCAGAGGCAAACUUUACGAGCUUGCUGAAGCUGUACACGCUCGCACAGUGCACACCAGACUUGAUGGUGUCCGAGUGCAACACAUGCCUCCGGGCGGCAAUCACGGGCCUCCCACAGGGGAAGCAAGGUGGGAGGUUAUUCACUUCGAGCUGCAGCAUGAGGUUCGAGCUGUACCCAUUUUAUAAUGCCUUGGCCAUGGCAGCCCUGGUGCCUCCGCCGUCCUACCUUCGUUCUCCUCCUGCUCCCGUGACCAGAAGUAAAGGUAUAUAUGUUUGUUUUUGUUAUUUUUCUUCCGCUAUAACAGAAAGAUCUGUCCAUUUCUUUUUCUUUUUGUUUGUUGAACUACUUAUCCUACUUUAUAGUUCGAAUAAGUGGAGUGAACCCUUUUUAAAAAGGGAAGAAAACAUGAUAAGCGCCAUAAUCCUUGUAUACGGUGCUAUAAAUGUUUAAUUGAUCACUUAAAUAUCUUAACUUUUAAGGAAUUUCACUUGAAUAACAUCAAUGAUUUUACUAGUAAAAAAAUCUAACAUGUCAAUAAUUUCAUAAAAAAACCUAUCUGAUAUGGCUUGCCGAUAAAAUGAUGUUAUCAAAAGGAUGUAGAAACUAGUCAUUAAGCCCUUUCUUGCCCCCAAAUUGAUGAAUUGGGACCAAGUCCAACUCAAACCCGAACCCUAUUCCUAAAUUAGGUCCAAUUACAACAGUCUUUGUCCUGCAAGUCCCGCCAAAGGACACCCCUCGGGCGAAGGCGCCGUUUUGGGUCCUCAAGGCUCGCCACGAUGGAAAUCAUUUUGAUUUGUGGUAACAUAGCUUUCUCUUCGUGGGAUGGACCAGUGUCAUGUGUAGUGACAUUGGAGAUUUUCCCUUUGCGGGUGCGAGCUCAAGUAGCAGCACUCAGGGCCAUGCGGAAUAGGGUGUGCAGUGCGCUUGUGGCAAUGUCUUUCAUUUCAAUUUCUCGAGCAAUCAGUUGCUUGUGAAUUUGGCGCAAGGAAAGGUUUUUUUUUUUUUUUUAGCAUUUUUUGCAUUUUUUGUCAAUUGCAAGGAAAGGGUUAAACAAUGUUCUUUCUGCACGCUUUUAAUGAUAUUAAUUACCCAGUGAGCCACAUCAAAUGAUUUUAUAUUAAAUUAAUGCCGAAUCAGAUUUUUCAACAGAAUAAAUUACCGAAGUCAUAAAUAAACAUCUUUUAAAAAUAUUAUGACAUUAAAAUGAUUGAUUGAAAAUUCAUGGCACUUGUAAUACAAUUUUCCAUAUUUUAGAUGAUGCCUCUUAUUGAGAUGAGCCUGCAAUAAUCUACAAGUAAUUUUCAAGUUAAACAGUAAUAAGUAAGAAAGAAAGAAAGGUAGUUGUCAAAGUAAUUAAAAUGAUUCGACGCAAAAAAAAAAAAGUAAUUGAAAUGAAAAUAUAAUUUCGAAAUAACCUUACUUUAAGUCAAACACAAUCAGCAAAAUUUGUGAAUUAUCAAGCCAAUCCCAAAUCUAAGCAUUUUGAAUAUGGAUGAACCAAUUCAGAAGAAUAAAGAACUUCAAUGAUACGGAUGAUUGUUGUCCUCCGUGUAAGUCCUUAGCAAUUAUAUGUAGCCAAAUCUACAGUAUUACAAACUUGUGUGUGUAUGGGGACACACACUUACAACAUAAUAUCAUUGGUUUUAGCUUUGUUGGCUUAGGAUGAAUAUUAAGGGCCAUAUAGCUAGUCAUUACCCUAUUCUUGUAUACAAUAGUAAGAGUGGACACAUUCAAUUUCAGUAUGACAUCCCGAUUUUCAAAUUCUAUUUUCAAUAAAUUGAGAUGGGCAUUUCAUCUUUGCACAUAUAGUUAUUUUCUUUGAGUUGGCCACUCAUGUGAAAACUAAUCUAUCAAGUGAAGUCGGUAAGAAAUUCUAAUGCAUUAGAUUCGAGAAUUUGACUAGGAAGCGACCUUUCAACCGAGCUAAUCUGUAAUGGUCAUUAUGGCAUAAUUAAAAAUCGAUUAGAAACAGGAGAUAGGUCAACUCAAUAGAGGCAUGUGAUCAAGUGUGGGUGAUUUCACCAAAUUACACAAUUCUUGUCGGUCGGCACUAGAUCGGCUUUUCUAUCAAUUUGGUACCCUGUGUCCGUAUUUGAAAUCUUGAGAUUACCAUGACAAUUGAGAGUUGCCAAUGUGUCAAAGAUGUACAUUGUGGCUUGAUCAACCACAAAUUAAAAUUUCUAAAAGCUACCCGGUAGAUUAGUACGCACUAAUAUCAUGCCAGAGUGAAAUUAACCGUGAAUUGAGAUCGAAUUCAGAAUUGGAAGUCUAGGUAUGUCACAAAUCAUUUUAGGAUCAUUAACUCAUCUUCAGAAGAUUUUUCAUACAAUCAGAAUUUUUCAGCAAUUUAAUCAAAGUAUGGCUAAUUUGGCUCGAGAAAUUAGUAGGCCCGCCCUUGGUCGUGCUUUUGGGACUUAAGUUGGUUCUAUGGACAAGUGAAGAUGUGAAUUGAAGUGUGGUGACAUUGGAUUAAUUUUAUGGACUUCAUUUUGGUUCAAUUGGAAGAGAAUCGAAUGGAAUUGAAGAAUUUAAUGUACAAGAUUUCAGUGCCACGGUGGAAAAGGAAAUUGCAACCAUUGGAAGAGGUUGUGGAGGAUUGAGAUAGUGGAUUGUGACAUCACAAGUGAUGUCAUGGUGUGGGGGCAAGAGUGGCUAGGAUCUUGACAAGUGGAUGGUGGGGAUUUGCUCUCAAAAGAUGGGACAUCACUCACCAAUCAACUCCAUCUUCAACCUUGGUCUUCUUGGAUUUUGAAUAGAGGAGAGAGAGAGAGGAGCUGCGACUGGAUCAGUAGCUCGACGCCCCCCUUCGCUGCUCGUCCACUCGUCGCAGCCGUCACCGUCGUCGCCCACUCGCACGCAAAGCCCCAUGUGUGCACCUCGCCAGCUCGCUGCUCCACCGCUGCUUGUGAGACCUCGAUCCACUAGCACCGUCGUCUAGCAUAGCGAGUAGUAGCUCAUCGUCGACCAGGGCCACUGUGAGCCAGCCAAAACCAACUCGUCGCCAGUGCCGCUUCUCCUCUGCUCGCACGACCAGCGGGCUUGCGCUCGUCACAGCCGUUGCUCGCGCAACAAGGACCCUCCAGUAUCGUCAUCCGACCGUCCAGCCGCCCAUUCAUCAUCGCCAAGGCCCCUAGAGGCCUCGCCUAGCCAUCGUGAGCCAUCGCCUGAGCUUUUGCCCCUCUCCUCCGCCCAUUUCAACCUAAACCGACAUCGGAUCCGCUCUUCUCGGCCCCAAAACAGUAGCUGGAAAAAUGGGUAUUCUAGCUCGGUUUUGGCCCGUUUUGGCUGGCUUUCCAACCCCAGAUGCUUGACCCGCCUUGAGGAAAGUCGAUCCCCACAACGUCCCCGUCGUUUUGGUCCAAUCGGUUUGUUAAUCGAGUGAGUUUAGCUCACUAAAUCUUGAUUGGAUGGUUAAUUAUGCUUAGGGAUGUUUAGUUUAUGUUAAUUGUUAGUAGGUGCUUAUUUUAAUUUAUUUAAGUGUAAAUUAUAUUGAGGUGCUUAAUUAACUUAAAGUGUGUUUAAUUUAAGGCUAAAUGAAUGUUCAUAUUAAUAUAAGCUUUGAUGUGACUUAAAGGAAUUAUUUUUGAUUUAUUUAAGUAUUCCAAAAUUAUUAAAUAUUUUAAUAAUAAAUAUUUAUUCGAAAAUAUUAACAUAUUAUUAUUUAAUUAAUUUCGGAAUAAAAUUAAUUAUUUAAUAAAUACUGAAAAUUAUUUCGAGACCUUAUUUCCUCAGAAUUUCAUGCUGAUCGCUGCUGUGUAUUCAUAUUAUUAAUUUGAUGAGUGGAUAUUGCAAAUUGAGUGAUGAUUUGUGCAAUUGAUUGCUGAAUUAUGAAACUGAGUGGUGAUUAUGAAAAGUAUAUAAUUUCUUCAUAAAAUCCCGAGUGUUGGGUUUGACACCAAAAAUGGAUUUUAAGUAUUAUAUCAAGCAGUGGGGUUUGAAAAAGAAUGGUGUUAGUUUUUUUGGUUCGAAUCCGAUUGUGUACCCACUCACACAACUACGUUCUCAAAUGUUUUUAAUAUGAAGAAAAAUGGCCGAGAUCACUAUUUUAAGUGAAAGCAUUGAGUGAAAUGCAAAGUGUCCUGGGCCGAGUAUGAUUUUGUUGUGUGAUAAUUAAGAGGAAUUUGUCUUAGGCUGUUGAGCUGGACUUGCCCCUAUAUGGGAUGCCCACAUAGUGGUUGCGGGUCGUAGUUGAUUUUGGACCCAUGCUCCUUUGGGAACGCCGUCGAGAUACUGAUGAAGCCGUGUUCCAAGGUGGGGAGACGAUGCCUAGCUAUAUACCAGUAGAUAGCCGAACUACGAGUAAGCUAUGCCCUUGUGUGACAGUGAAUAACAAUUGGAUCGCACAUUGAGUGUUAUUGACGAGUCGAAUUAUGGGAUAGAAUUGUGUGGCAUGGUAUGAGACGUGUCAUAACGGUUUGGUCUUAUAAUCCGAACUCUUGUGGUCAUUCGAAAUGAUAUUGUUGACGUUCCAAUGGUUUAAGUUCCUAUUACUAUUUGUGAUUGACUGAUUUGAAUUGUACUAACCUGCAGAAAGGAACUGAGGCGAGGUAAAUUCUCUAUGUAGUGUGACUAGGCCAUCCUUGGGCUUAUUUUAUUUCUAAUAGGGGUUUAGGGGGUUGAACUUACUGAGACAAUAUCUCACCCCGUUGUGAGCCAAAAUUUCAGGACCGUAGAUGGUGGAACCCUCGGAGGCUGAUCAAUCAGAAGUGGGAUCGAAGAAUGAGUUCGACUCGUGGUCAUAGGACUCCCUUUUGUAGACUGCCCAUUUUUGGUAUAUGUGUAAACCCUAGUGUGGUUACCUUUAAAAGAAUGUUUGUUUAUGAAUGAGUUGGUUUCCUGCUUUUCUAUCCCGUAAGUUUUUUUCAUGGGUUUUAUAAUACGUUCCGCUUGUGCAAUAAUAAAUUAAUGGGGUCGGUGACACUACCUGGGAAUGUCGCAUUUGCAUGACCAUGGCGGAUGUUGGCGCGCUCGAGGUUCAGGGCGUGACAAUCAGUAUGUGACUUUAAUUUCCUAAUUCCUCAGUGUCUCCAUGUCCGCAUUUUCUAUAAGGAAAAAAAAAGGAAAAAAAGCUGCAAAUGCUUCUAUUGGUUAGGAGGAUCCGAAUGUUAUCUGCGGAACUAUUUUACUAUUGACAAAGGAAACACUUCUAGCCAUUAAAAAUCUAUAUCCUAAUGUAAUGUCGGCAUUCUGUGAUGCAUUUGAACUGAGAAAAGCCACUAUGUAUCUUGGCCCAACUGGAAAUUAAUUUAUUCUAUAAAAUGAACCUAUUUGAAGCAAACACAAAGAGAAUCGACACACAGUAGGCUUGGUUCACAUGCCUUCCUUUGUAGUAAUCCCGUGGAGAAAAGGACAUUACAUAUGCCUUUUUUUCAGUACACCAUUCACUUUGAUACAAUAACUUUUUAAUCCAUCACUUGAUUAUCAUAUAUCUUUAGAAAACGUUCACUUGAAUGACUCCAAAAAUUUCUUGUACCAAAAAAUUUGGCGUGGUAUUAAUUAAUAUAAAUUGGUCAUUGUGGGUUAUUGGAAAAAUGAAAUCAUUAAAAGCUUGCAGAAAUGUUGUUUAGCCUUUCCUUGCCCAAAAUUGAUGGCCAAUGUGGUUUCUCGGAAAACAAGAGGAGGGACAUCGCCGCAAGCCUGCUGCACACCCUCUUUUUUUUUGUCAUAACUGCAAACCCUAUUACCAAUGACCCUGAGUGCUACCGGCCUCAAAGGGACAAUUUCCGAUAUCAGAUCCAAAAUUCCAGUCUAAUGCCCAAGGUAAGAAAGCUAUAUUACCACAAAUUGGAAGGAUUACCAUUGUGAAAGCCCUUCAGAAUCAGCAGCAGUGCCACCUCUAAUGCCCUCGCUGCAAGGGCUUCCUUUGGCAGCACCCCCAAGAUAAAGACUCACCACCAUUGGACCUAAUUUGGGAUUAAGGUUUGAGUUGAAUUUAGCCUUAACUCGUCAAUUUGGGUCAAGGAAUGGCUAAACGAUGUUGUCUCUAAACACUUUAGAUGACAUCAUUUCUCUUCUCUAUCACGUCAGAUGGUUUUAUACUAAAGUCAUAUCGGAUGUUCUGGCAAUACUCAAAUAAACUUGAUGUUUUUCAAAGUAAUAACAUUCAAGCGAUCGACCUAAAAUUUAAGAUACCAAUGUGAGCGUGGUCCAAAAGUUAUUGUACCGGUCACGUCAUUUUCACCAUUUCUUGUUUAUCCAUUUUCAUCUCUUAUGAGAGGUGAAGUUUCACAAGGCAUUUUUUCGCAAAUACUUCUUGAUUCUGUUCCACAUUAUUCCAAUGACUCUGCACUUGUGGUCUUUGCUUGUCUUCUUCCUUCUUCAAGCACUUCAUAACAGCACAAUUUACAACAUACCUGCAUCAAUUCCACUGGUUCAGAACCAAACCCUAGUCUCUAGUAGUCAAAUCUUUGAGCUCGGGUUCUUCAAGCCUAAUGGAUCAGCAAAGCAGUACCUAGGAAUAUGGUACAAGAACAUGACUCCGUCCAAAAAAGUCUGGGUGGCCAACAGGAACAAGCCAAUUGGACACACAGAUAAAUCUGCGAGUUUAAUAAUUGGCAACGAUGGAAAUCUGAAGCUUCUUGAUGGGCAACAAAACACUGUGUGGUCGACUAAUGUCAUGGCAAAGUCGAAUUAUUCCGCAGCCCACCUUUCAGACUAUGGAAACUUUGUUCUUCAAGACAGGAAUGCGAAUAUAUUGUGGGAAAGCUUUGAUGAGCCAACUGACACUCUCCUGCCAAACAUGAAGAUCGGAGUAAACGUGAAAACAGGAAAGAAACGAAACUUGAUUUCUUGGAAAGGAGAUAGCAGCAAAGAGACUUUCGAGUAGCUCAGGCCAAGGCAUAGCAGAGUUCAAGAAUGAGAUCCUUCUAAUAUCUAAACUUCAACACCGAAAUUUGGUGAGACUCCUCGGUUGCUGCACCGAAAGGGAAGAAAAGAUUCUAGUGUAUGAGUACUUGCCAAACAAGAGCUUGCACGCCUUCCUUUUUGGUUUGUCUCACUCUUUGAAGAAUUUAUUUCUGCUUUCAACAAAAUUCAAUACUGAAACUUAGUUGCUUUUCUGUUUGCUACCUUGUUUAGAUUCAGAAAAGAAGGCGAAACUUAGUUGGGCCGUACGAUUCCACAUUAUUGAGGAGGUCGCGAGAGGGCUGCUCUACCUCCACCACGAUUCUUGCCUUAGGGUCAUACAUCGAGAUUUGAAAGUGAGCAACAUUCUCUUGGAUGAAAAGAUGAAUCCAAAGAUUUCUGAUUUUGGGUUGGCGCAGAUGUUCGAAAGCAGUCAAGUUUUGGUAAAUACUCACAAAGUUGUGGGGACACUGUAAGCUUUCUAUCAUUACUCUUAGGAGUACUUAUUUUAUGAGGCAAUAUAUAACCUUGAAAGCAGAUUAGCAGUUUAAUGCGCUCACUUUUCCCUUCAUACAUGUUCCUACCGUUGUUUUACUAUUACCGAGAAAACUCUUCCAUGUACAUCCAAUGGUUCCAAUAUGUGAGUUCUCUUCGAGGUAAUUAUAGACCAGCACUGUAGUUAUGAGAUAUACAGUACUCGUUGAGUUGGAAGUUUAUCAUCCUCUAAUUUUCUCACCUCUCAUGUCAUCGUUCUUAAGUCUAUGAUUUUUUGUUUGAACUGUACUUCGGAAACUCUCCACUUAUAUUAUUUAGUCUACAACGGCUACAUGUCUCCCGAGUAUGCUAUGGAUGGGACAUUUUAUGAGAAAUCUGAUGUUCAUAGCUUUGGAGUAUUGCUAUUGGAGAUUAUUAGCAGCAAGAAGAACACAAGUUUAGAUUACCCCGGGCAGCAUCUUAAUCUCCUUGCUUAUGUAAGUGUGAGAUCUAAUUUCAAACUAUUAUACCUCCAAAUCAGUUUUCAAUCAUGGGUAGUCCUUGAAAUAAUCUAACAAUUGACCAGUUGUUACAGGCUUGGCACUUGUGGUGUGAAGGGAGAGGAUUGGACCUGAUGGAUGCAGCCAUUGCUAACGCAUUUUCGGCAUUAGAAGUAAUGAGAUGUAUUCAGGUAGGGCUUCUCUGUACGCAAGACCACGCCAUAGAUAGACCCAACAUGUCAGCCGUAGUUCUAAUGCUGAAUGGGGAGUCCGAACUUUCACAACCGAAGCAGCCAGCAUAUACAUUUCAAAGGCUGUUGGCUCACCAAGUCCAAUCACAAGAAGGAAGCAUCCGGUCCAUGAAUACCAUCACCAUUACUACAGUUGAAGGAAGAUAAAAUUCUCAAAUGCAUUUUCACUAUCAAUUCAUCUUUUCAAGGAUUCAAUGUUCACCAAAUUAAACGGCUUGAAUAUGCAAUGUUUUGUGGCACUUUUAUGUGUAUAUAUGAUGUAAACAUAGAGAUCGUGAGGAAAACUGAAUUGCUAGCUCUCUAGUAGGAUAGUUUAUGCUGGCAAGGUCUCACAAAAGUUCACAACAUUUGUGUGCAUGGGGAUUUCUUACCCUUCUGCAUAUAGAAGUGUUCAGUUGUGCUGUUGAAGCUAGUUUCAAUUGCAUUUUUCCUAUAAAAACAUAUUUGGCCAUAAAAUUGCUUAGAUUUCACUUUGGUGCCCUUAGUCUAGUAAUCAACUAUAUAAUAUCAUAUCUACUAUUUAUAUUAAAAUAUAUCUCGAAUUUGAGUCAAUUUGAAAAUUUAAAAAUUCCGAAUUGGAUUUAUUACGAGCGUUUGUAAUCGAGCAAAUCAGAAUUCGGUAACGUCCUUUGACGAGUUGGGGUUGGCCAAGGAAAGAUAAUUGAAAAGGAGUUAAAAAGAGAAGGAAAUAAAAUCCAAGCGGUGGAAAUCAUGGUUCAAAAUUGGAAAAGUCCAAGUUGGACUUCGUUGACCGAAUCCAAAUUGGAUUCUGAUUCCUUCUCCAACUCGGCGUGGACUUCGGCCUUGACCGACCAACAUGGGACUUCCUUCAGGCGGUGGAUAUGUAUAUUUCAAAAGGAUUAUUGACUUAAGAGUGGCUUGGUCGAGAAAAGAAACGAUUACAAACGCAAGCCGCCGUUGUUGAUCUUGAAGAGCGUUUAUUCAAGCGGGUGCUUGGCGUUGAUUUUAUUCAUGAAUUACAUCCAAGAACAUACAAGUAUUCAAUUCAAUUAAAUCUCAUGAGGUCGAUGUUGAAGAUAUGUUUGGAGAUUUUGAUUCUAAUUGAUAAUUGAUUCUGAUUGAUGAUUUGUAUUGGUUGUAAUUGAUAGGAUAAUGUGGUUAUUUUAGGACAAGAAAGAUCAGGAAAAAUCAUUUACUUUUUUAUUGAAGGUCUUGUACGGUGUAUACAUGGUUGUAUCAUAUAUAGAAAAGAAUGAAGAAGAAGAUACAAUUUUUCCACAUUCUACAUUCUCUCUCUCUCUCUCUGUAUUCUUUCUUCUCGAUUUGUGACAUGGUAUCAAAGCAUUUCUUGAUCCUGGCAUAGCUUCUGCGCCUGAAAUAGUCUCUGUCUCUUCCCUGUUUCCUGUUGCUGCAUCACCCGUAGAAUAGGACAGCUUCCAUUCACCUUUCUUUCUCGAUCUCUUCUCUGUUUCCUGUUGCUGCAACACUCGUAGAACAGGACAGCUUCCAUUCACCUUUCUUUCUUCAAAAGCAAAUCUGCAAAACAGUUUUUUUAGAAAUCGUCCUCAUGACAAACCCAUAGACUCUUACCUCGGGAUCCAGUGAUCAGCCUGCAAGAGAAGCAACACCACCAAUCUCGCAAAUCUGGGAAUCAUCAUCUGCUGUCAUCAUUUCCGAAGAACAAAGGCAGCCACAGACUCAAAUGUAGCAUGCACAAUGGGUACCUAUUUCGGCUCAGGCAAAUUUAGGGCAACCCUAUUCAAGCCAACCUUACCAAUGGGUACCACAUCCUUGGUACUAUGGGAUCAACCCAAAUGCAUCAUUGCCAAGAUUUAGAUCUAAUGGAAGCCUACCAGCUAGCAACGGGGUAGGCACAAACACCAGUUCACAGCAGACGAGUGGAUCAGUCGAACCAGGCAUGGGAACAAAUCCCUACCCGGGUUCGGGUUCUUUUUUUCCAAAUGCAUGUAACACGAUCGAAUCUGAGGGGUCGGGUUUAAGAGCAAACCCAUACCCGAAUCCACCACCAGGUCUCUUCCCGUACUAGAUCUACGUUGCCAGUAGUCGCCCAGAGCCCGGUGUCACGCCCCGAACCCCGAGCGUGCGCACAUCCCACUGCAGUCGAUCAAAUGCGACAUUCUCAGGUAGUGUCGCCAACCCCAUUCAUUUCUUAAUGCGCAAGCGGAACGUAUUAUAAAACCCCUGACAAUAAAUACGAGAUAGAAAAGCAGGAAGCAAAACCAUAACAUAACACUUUCAUAAUUCAACAGAAUUACAAACAGAGGUCUACGGCCAAAAGUCUACAAAAAACCGGCUCUUAAAAAGGAAUUGUCCUACGACCUACAAGUCGGACACGUUCUCCAAUCUUAUGACUUUCACCUCUGCAACUCCUCAAGGCCAACCAAAGCUAUCAGGUCGCUCCGUCCACCAGGGACCUGAAAUUUUAAUCCCACAACCGGGAUGAGACGAUAUCUCAGCAAGUUCAACCCCUUAAACCCCUAUUAGAAAGAAAAUACGCCCCAGGUGGCCUAGCCACAUCACAUAGAAGACUUACCUUGCAUUAAUCUUCAUCUGCAGGUUAGCACAGUUUAUAUAAUUCAACCACGUGCAAUUAUAAUAACCAAACAACUGCAGCACAAUCACAUCAUCAGAACAAUUCGACUACUUGGAUCAUCUCAGUGAUCAAUCGACUCGGCCAAUUACAUGUCAUUCUAGCAAAUCAAUCAUUGCUCUUAAUUACGGCCCUAUAGAAAGGUUUAACAACCAGUGGCAAUCACGGCCCCACUCGGCAUGACCUUUAAUUAGGUGGUCCAUCUCGGCCUCACUAGGCACGACCUCUCAUAGGUGGUCCAUCACGGCCUCACUGGGCACGACCUCCAAUAGGUGGUCAAUCACGGCCCCAUUAGGCACGACCUCUCUUAGGUGGUUCAUCACGACCCUACUAGGCACGACCUCUCAUGGGUGGUCCAUCACGGCCUCACUGGGCACGACCUCCAAUAGGUGGUUAAUCACGGCCUCACUGGGCACGACCUCUAAUAGGUGGUCAAUCACAGCCAAUCUCCCAUCAAUUUCAACACUUGGAUUUUAUAAAGAAUCCCUAUCUAUCGCAAUCACACUCAAUUUGCCACAAUCAAUCAUCAAAUUCAAAUUCUAAAUACACAGCAGCGAUUGGCACGAAAUUCUGAGAGUUUAGGGUCCCGACGAAAUUUUCGAAUUUUAAUACAUAAUUAAAUUUAUUCCGAAAAUUAAUUAAAUAAUAAUAUCCAUAUUUUCGUCAUCCACACCCAAUUUAUAAUAUCCAACCAUCAAUUUCAAAAUCCGAAUACACAGUAAAGUUCGGCACGAAAUUCUGAGCAACCAGAGUCAAAAAUAAUUUUUUUUUUCGUUUUUUAUAUAAUAUUUUAAUAAUUUCGGAUUAUAAAAUAAUAUUAUAUUUUCCAGAAUUUCGAAGCACUUAAAUAAUUCAAAACUAAAAUCCUUUUAUGUCACAUCAAGGCUUAACUUUAAAUAACUUCUUUUAACUUUUAAUUUAAACACACUUUAACAUAAACCAACCUCUUAAUCCACUUUAUAAUUAAAUAUACUAAUCCACCCACAUAAACUUACUUAAUUUAAGCUAAGCACACUUAGGGCAUCAUUAACUCUCUAAUCAAGAUUUAGUGAGUUAAACUCACCGGAUUAGCGAGCCGAGCAGACCAAAACGACGAGGACGACGUGGGGGUCGACUUUCCUCAAGGCGGGCCGAGCAUCCGGGCUCGGGAAGGCGGCCAAAACGGGCCAGAUAGGUGCUACCAUCCCAUUUUCCAGCCCUCUGCUCGCUGCUGGUUGGGCGAGGAGACCGGUGCAGCUUGGGCGGUGGCUCACAGCGGCCGGCAGGAUCCCGGCGAUGGCUGUCGACUUGGGAUGACGGACGAUGGUUGUGGGCGUGCGAACGAAGCAAAGACAGGAGGGCGGAGCGGCUCGCGCACGAGACGACGAGCGUGCGGACGAAUGGCGACGGCAACGAGCUCCGACGACGGGCGAGCUGGUCGGGUGAGCGGCGAACGGCGGUCCGGCUGGGCUACAGCCAGCCUCGGCGUGCUCAGAUCUGCUAGUGCGUUCGAACCUAGAGAAGAAAAGAACCAAACGCCAGUAGGAGGGAGAGAGAGGCGGAGGUGUUCGCGGGGCUGCGACGGCGAGCGUGAACGGCGGACGGCAACGAGCGGGUGGAGGGGCGGCCGGUCAAGCGUCGCACGAAGGGACCGGAUGAGCUGGUUCUGUCCAAGCUUUCCCUCCCCCCUUUCUCUCUCUUCCCAAGCUUGAAGAUGAAGUGUGAUUGGUGGAAGUGAUGGGCCCUUUUUUUUUAGAUUAAAUCUACACCUUACACUUGUCAAUUUCUUCUUAACUUUGGCCCAACCACCAUGACCUAGGGUGAUGUCAUCUUCCACUAAUUUCAAAUCUUCCACAACUAUCUUCAAUAGGUCCAAUUUAUUUUUCCGCCAAGGCAUGAAACCUUGUGCAUUAAUUUCUUCAAUUCCAUUCAAUUCUCUUCCAAUUGAGUCCAAUUGAAGUCCAUAAAAUUAAUCCAAUGUCACCACACUUCAAUUCACAUCUUCACUUGAUCAUAGAACCAUCUUGAGUCCCAAAAGCACAACCAAAAGCGGGCCUACCAAUUUUCCAAACCAAAUUAACCAUACCUUGAUUAUUUUGCCGAAAAACUUGGCUUGCAUAAAAAAUCUUCCAAAGAUGAGUCAAUACUCUUAAAAUUAUUUGUGAUGCACCCAGACUUCCAAUUUCUGAAUUCGAUCUCAAUUCCACGGUUAAUUUCACUUUGGCACGAUACUAGCGCGGCCCAACCUACCGGGUAGCCUUUAGAAAUUUUCAUGCAUUUAACCUGUGAUUGAUCAUCUCAAGCCACAAUGUACAUCUUUGAAACAUUGGUGACUUUCGAUUGUCGAGGUAAUCUCAAGGUUUCAAAUACGAACACAGGGUACCCAAUCGAUAGAAAAGUCGGUCCAGUGCCGAUCGACAAGAAUUGUGCGAUCUGGUGGAAUCACCCACACCUGAUCACAUGCCUCUGUUGAGUUGACCUAUCUCCGAUCUCUAAUCGAUUUUUAGUUGUGCCGUAAUGACCCUUGCAGAUUAGCUCGGUUGAAAGGUCGCUUCCUGGUCAAAUUCUCAAGUUUGAUGCAUUAGAAAUUCUUAACAGUUUCAUCCGAUAGACUAGUUUUCACAUGAGUGGCCGACUCAAGGAAAAGAACUAUAUGCGUGCCAACGAAAUGCCCAUCUCAAUUUAUUGAAAAUAGAAUUGGAAAAUCGGGAUGUCACACCCGGCGACCCUCUUUUCACAACAAAUGCCGACGGACCAGAACUAAAGAUCAUUGCCCAACAGUUAACUGGACAAGAUAAUUACUCGAGUUGGUCGCGCGAGUUCCGGCGCGCUCUGGUAACGAAAGAUAAAGAGGGCUUCAUUGACGAAACGGUUCCAAUUCCGUCCGACAAACGUCUAGCGCGGCCUUGGAAAAAGUGUAAUCAGCUAGUCAGAACAUGGAUCGAAAACAGUCUCGCCCCCGAAGUCGCAGCGGGUCUUCCCCCAACGGAGGACUCAAAACAAAUGUGGGAAAACAUCAAGGAGAUGUAUGGAAAAUUAGAUCAAGUCAAAAUUUUCUCCUUGACGCAACAAAUCUCAACUUUAAAGCAGGAAAACAUGACUGUUGCUGCAAUUUUUAACAAACUUUCAAGUCUGUGGAACGAAUUGGAAGCGGCCGAAAAAAGAUUUGACUGGCCGGAGCCGAUUUUGCAGCAAUACAAAAAAAUGCGAGAUAGGGAGAAGGCAAUAAGAUUCCUCCUCAUACUAAAUGAAUCUUACCUUUCGUUUCGAUCACAGAUUUUAACCAUGGAGCCGAUGUCAAACCUUGGCCGCAUCUACCAGCUCGCUAUCCAGGAGGAGAGCCAGCAGAGAGCAGCAGAUCUUGGCAAAGAAAGCGACAGUGUGGCUCUGGCAACAAGGGUUUCCCCUCACCUGCUACAAAAAACCACAGGAGGAAGAAAUCUAGGAUUCCACGAAGGAACCACAGGAGGGAGAGAGGGUCGAGGACCCAAUCUAGGGUUUCACUAAAACCCUAGGCCUUUUAUACGGUCAAUCGAUGGCCGUGAUUUCUCUGGGCGAUCUAACGACUCAAGAUCAAUCCUCAGGGCUAUUGGAUUCGACGGCUCACAGAAAGGCGUGGCUCCUGAAUCAAACGAUCCACGAGCUGGGGGGCUUCUAUGGCUCCGAAGGGGGACGCAGGCACUUUAUUUCUGGGCCCGACGGCCCAAGAGGCCAUUUUUUCGCAACAUCAGAAAGCCCAUAAGGGGGUACGGUGGCCCAUGCCGUUAGCAAGCCCUCACCAUUUAUAAAACACAAUAAUCACAAGGGAAAUGGUAAGCUCUAUUAUGAAUAUUGUAAACACCCGCAUCACACAAUUGAAAAUUGUUGGAAAUUACACGGCAGACCGGGUGAAAAAGAAAAGGGAAAGUUUUCAAUUGUCUUUCAGGUGACAGGAAAUUCAGCUGACAAGUCAAUUACUCAUGGGGAAUAUCAAGAGCUAAUGGAAGCUCCAAAGAAAUUGGAUCGUUCUGACAAGGCAGGAAGUUUCACAAGUAUUUCUUACUGCCUAAUGAACUCAAUUUCAAAUGAUGAAUGGAUCAUUGAUACAGGAGCUAGUGAUCAUAUUGUUUGCAAUCCAAAAUUCUUUUCCAAUGUCAAUAAGCUAUCAUAUCCAAGAUCAGUUCAGCUCCCCAAUGGAAGUAGUACACAUGUUGGAAUGACUAGCACUGUGAAACUUAGUCCACUCAUUACCCUCAAAAAUGUCCUUUAUGUUCCCACUUUCCACUUUAAUCUCAUAUCAGUCUCUCGAGCUUGUGAAGAAAAUUCUUGUCGUGUCGCUUUUGACCAUGACAAAUGUUUAUUUCAGGCCCUUUUGAAUGGCAAACUGAUGGGCUUGGGUAGAGUCUAUCAAGGACUGUAUUUCUGGGUUGAUAUUCCAGACAAUUUUACAUUAUCCUCUGUUGCAUUCAAUAAAUCGUUGUGUAACACUUUGCCAAUGAAAGAAAUUUCCUUUAUCAUAAAAGAUUGGAUCACACUACUUAUUUCCCCAGUCCUCAAUGCUCCAUUUGCCCUUUGGCAAAACAAACUCGUGCACCCUUUCAAAAUAGUACAACUCAAGUAGACGAUAUUUUUUCUUUAAUUCAUGCUGAUGUUUGGGGACCAUAUCACACAAUAAAUUGUGAUGAUUCAAAGUUUUUCCUUACAAUUGUGGAUGAUUUUUUACGUGCCACUUGGGUCUUCCUCAUACAAUCAAAGGCUCAAGUUCUUUCUUAUCUUAAAAUCUUCAUUUCUUUAUCCAAAACUCAGUUUGGAAAAUCAGUUCGUCGCAUUCGCACUGAUAAUGGGACAGAAUUCUUCAAUAGAGAUUGUAAGUAUUUUAUAUCCUCAAAUGGAAUUUUGCAUGAAAGUACAUGCACUUAUACCCCACAACAAAAUGGGGUUGUUGAGCGAAAGCACCAUCAUCUCUUAGAAGUGGCACGUGCUCUUCAGUUCCAGGCAUCCAUACCUGAAGUUUUUUGGGGAGAUUGUGUGAUUACUGCAGCGUAUCUUAUAAACCGUAUGCCAUCACGCAUUCUAAAAGGGAAAACUCCGUUUGAAUUAUUGUAUGGAAGGAAACCAGAUUUGACUAAUCUCAGAGUAUUUGGCUGUCUAUGCUAUGUGGCCACAGUCGGAGCCCGAGAUAAAAUGUCUCCUCGGGCUAGGAAGUGUAUCUUCAUGGGAUAUCCCAACUUAAAGAAGGGUUAUAGAGUUUAUGAACAAUCUAUUGGAGAAUUCUUCGUCAGCCGGGAUGUGGUUUUUCAUGAAGACAUCUUCCCCUUUCAGGAUACUACUUCUAUGUCUGUAGAAGAUAUGAGAAUUGGUUGUCCAUUCCUGUCGGAAGAAGAUCUAUCUACUAGAGAAUCUAUUCUCAUUAGCUCCCCUCCAAAAAAUUAGAUAGUAGAUAGAGAAUUGUCUUCACCAUUGCCCUCACCACCGGCCAAUGGUUCAUAUGACGACAUUUCUGAUUGGGAACAACUCAUGGAACAUCAAUCCCAAGAGACAAACAGUGAAGAAUCUGGAAGUAUUGAAGAACCAUCCUUGAAGAUACUAGAUGAGCCACCUCGACAAUCAGGUUGAAUAAUUCGUCCACCAACCUGGACCAAAGAUUAUGUCUGUUCCUCAUCACUAUCAUCAGGUACCCGUUAUCCUAUAUCCUCAUAUGUGUCUUUCAAUCACUUAUCGUCAGAUUAUUUAUGCCGCAUUAGCCGAAUUUCUGAGGAAAAAGAGCCUUUAAAUUAUGACGAGGCUAUACAAGAUGAUCGCUGGCAAAAGGCAAUGGAGGCGGAACUCAAGGCCCUGAUUAAUAAUCGCACUUGGGAUAUUGUGUCUUUACCUUCUGAUCGUAAACCCAUUGGAUGUAAAUGGGUCUAUAAGAUAAAAUAUAGAGCAAAUGGCUCUGUGGAACGAUACAAGGCUCGGUUGGUGGCCAAGGGUUUUACACAAUGAGAAGGUUUUGACUACCAUGAGACAUUUUCUCCAGUCGCCAAAUACGUCACAGUCUGUUCUUUCUUAUCAAUUGCUGCCUUUCGUAACUGGUCAUUGCAUCAAAUGGAUGUCCACAACACUUUUCUUCAUGGAGAUGUAGAAGAGGAGAUUUACAUGGACCUUCCACAAGGAUUGCGAAGACAGAGGGAGUCUAAGGUAUGUCGUCUCCGCAAAUCUCUUUAUGGAUUGAAACAGACUUCUCGACAGUGGUACGCCAAGUUUACUACUGCACUUAUGGGAGUAGGGUUCCAGCAAUCCAAACAAGAUUACGCAAUGUUCACCUGGGCAAAAGGUGCGUCGGUCAUAUACUUGAUGAUUUAUGUUGAUGACAUACUCAUUAUGGGAAAUGAUGAUUCUACUAUUAAGAAGCUAAAGGACUACCUACAUUUGUCUUUUCACAUCAAAGACUUAGGGUCACCUAAGUAUUUUCUUGGAAUAGAGAUAGCUCGCUCUGAUCUAGGGAUUUCCCUUAGUCAAAGAAAUUUUGUGAUGGAGAUUAUAUCAGAAGUGGGACUAUCAGGAUGCAAACCAGCAAUCAUUCCCAUCGAACAGAAUGCCAAGUUGACCAGUGUUGACUAUGAUGCUGGAACGUUGCCCUCCUCUGAUGAUCCACUGUUGAAAGACCCGACAAGCUAUCAAAGACUUGUUGGGAAGCUUAUCUACCUCACUAUGACUCGGCCAGAUAUUUGUUAUGCAGUACAAACUCUCAGUCAGUUCAUGCACAGCCCAAAGCUAUCACACAUGAAUGCAGCUUUGAAGGUGGUGAAAUACCUAAAGAGUUGUCUAGGGCUAGGAAUACUCCUUUCCAGAAGAUGUAAUAUGGAGAUGACAGCCUAAUGUGAUGCAGAUUAUGCCACAUGUCCUAUGAGUAGAAGGUCUAUCACUGGUUUUUGCAUCAAAUUUGGGGAGUCACUGCUUUCAUGGAAAACAAAGAAACAAUCCACUGUAUCCUUGUCAUCAGCAGAGGCUGAGUAUAGAUCCAUGGCAAAGAUAGUUUGUGAGAUAGUGUGGCUUUGAGGCUUGCUUCUAGACCUUGGGGUACAAGUUAAAGGUCCGACAUUACUCUUCUAUGACAAUGAUUCGGCACUCAAGCUUGCAGCGAAUCCUGUACUACAUGAAAGGACAAAGCAUAUAGAAGUUGAUUGCCACUUUACUCGAGAGAAUAUCAAAGAAUGAAUCAUCGAAACCAGAGGGAUAAGGAUCAUGGAACAACCAGCAGAUAUUUUCACUAAACCCCUUUGUCAGAGAUAGCAUACAUAUCUUCUGAACAAGCUGGCGUCUUGGAUAUAUACAAGACAACAGUUUGAGGGGGAGUGUUGAAGAUAUGUUUGGAGAUUUUGAUUCUGAUUGAUGAUUUGUAUUAGUUGUAAUUGAUAGGAUAAUGUGGUUAUUUUAUGACAAGAAAGAUUAGGAAAAAUCAUUUACUUUUUUUUAAGGUCUUGUACGGUAUAUACAUGGUUGUAUCAUAUACAGAAAAGAAUGAAGAAGAAGAUACAAUUUUUCCGCAUUCUACAUUCUCUCUCUCUCUCUCUCUCUCUGUAUUCUUUCUUCUUGAUUUGUGACAGUCAAGAUGUGUAUGUAAUUUUGUCAUGAGACUGAAAAAUUGUUUAGUGAUAAAUUGCAGGGCUAAUCGAUGCAUGCAUUAUUAGGUGUAAUUAGGAUUUGAGAAACAUUGAGAGUUUUUUAAUGAUUCGAGUACAUAAUUUCCAUUAUACACUUGAUUUAUAGUAAAAUUCAUUGCUACUCUCCCCACGGAUGCACGUCACUACGACUAAACAAUAUAAAUCUAGUGUUCGAUUUAUUUUCUUGUUCUUUCUAUUUUAUUAUUCAAUCGCUCGUUUUCCACAAUAAUUUACAUAUAGUUCUGUAGACUACAUGAUACACAACAAGUUAUUGCGUAGACUUAAUCUAAUAAAUUAUAUCAAUCAUAUAUUAAGAAAUAGUAAGAAUAACGAGUCCCGCAUAACAAAUAGAAAUUCUUACUACAUACCAAUAGUAGAACGAGUCUAUAUUCCGAUACUUUUCUACGAUAUUAUUAACAAUGCACCAUGACAAAUAUAUUUUGCUAUAUGUCAAUUCCCAAUUGAUUAGCUUAAUACUGUAAUUCUAGUAGGAACGACCAUGCUUGCAUUUGUUGUAAUAAUUUUUCUAAUGUGAGCUACCUCAAUUAAAAUUGUAAUUCAGUGUUUUGCAGGAUUGAUCUAUUAAGGUGAGAUUUAAGGAUUCUUAAAAAGUCUAAUAUUCAAUUGGCUAAUGUGGGCUGAAUAAAGCCCAACCUGUGAUGAGAGGACUUGUUACUUAGAACUCUACAAAUAAUGUUCAAAUAAUUAUAAUGUACAAACAACCUUAUGUAAGGAGUGUAUAUAGAAUGCUAAAACUAAGAGACAGUCUCGUUGAGUUGGUGAUACAGAGGACAAUAAAUGAGAAGCACUUGGUAUUUGAAUUGGCAAUAUACCUUAUUUUUAAAAAAAAGAUUCCAAAUUAGGUGUGCAAAUCUUUUUUCCUCUGUUAUUGCGCUCUAAAUUUUAGGGAAUAAGAAUAGCAAGAGCAUUAUAAUUUUUGUACAGCACUCACUUGAGUACCAUAACUUUUUUUCACUCACUUAAAUACAACAUUGGAGUAAAAUUGAUCAUUUGAAUUUCACUUCUAGCAAAUCAUCCUACAUAAAUUUUUUUUAUUAAUUUCCAUUCCAAUGUGGAUUUUUAAUUUUGGAAUUUUUUAUUAAUUGUCCACACCAACGUUAACAAUCUCAUAUAGAACAAUUAUCAUCCAAAUCAUGGCACUUAAGUAAUCAGUUUUUCAAAUCUAUGGCACUCAAGCCGACGGUCGUCAGCGGCCGAUGGGCUUCUGACGGCAGUCGGCGGUGAUGGUCGGUGGCCGACAGUCAUGCAGCGGCGACAGCUGGUGGGCCAGCGGCCGGCAGCGGCAGCGACUGGCAGCGGCGAUCCAUAAGCAAGAAUAAAAAAUGAAUAAAUACAAAAAAGAAAUUGUUGCGUUACCAAACGCAUUUCUAUUCUUUUUCUAUUCCAAAAGUAGAAAUUUUGUGUAGUUACCAAAUAGGUUCUUUUACUUAGAAAUUGUUCCCCAUAACAGAAAUAGAAAAGAACUAUUUUUGAAAAAAAAACAAAACUCUUUCCCAGAACAGAAGCAUUGUCAUGCGCAACCUUAAGGUAAAAUGGGACAUCAUAAGUCAAAAAAUGGGUGGAAAAAGCGUAAACUUUUACGUGUUUAUCAUUUUCCACAUGAAUGCUCAUUUAAAUGCUAAACCCAACCCACUUAUUUAUAUUUGAGUUGAUACGAUUAAAAUAAGGAGAGUGUAUGAUGGAUUUCUAGAGUAUGGGCCGUACGGUGGUUGGGAAAAAGAAGAGGCGAAGAAGAUAAUUUAUAAUUAACACUAUUUAUAUGUUAAUACAUAAUAAUUGUUUUGAUGAUAUUUUAAUUUGAUCAUUGUUGAAAAUUGAAUUUAAAAUAUUUUGGACUUUAUAUGCAAUGGGCCUUAAUCAUGAGAAGUACCUAAUUUUAUAUAUAUGGGGCCACCUUCUAUUAAUAUGUUUUAGAAAGAAUUAAUUAAUGCAAGUCAAUUGUUCAUAGCGAUAAUGACAUUGACUCUCCCCAACCUUUUCAUUAAUAAAUAAAAAUGCUAGAACAAGGACAACAAGAGUGCUAUCACUUUUGUAUGGAGUUGACUUAAGUACCAUCACAAUUUUUUUUCGCUCACUUAAGUGCCACAUCAGAGUAAAUCAAUUAUUUGAGUGUCAUUCCUAGUAAAUCAAUUAUUUGAGUAUCAUUCCUAGCAAAUCAUCCUACGUGGAUUUUUUUAAAUUAAUUUUCCAUUUUGAUGUGGAUUUUUUUAUUCUUGAAUUUUUUUAUUAACUGUCCACGUCAAUGCUAUCCUUAGGAUAACCAACAUCCACGUUAGAUUUUCCAGUGAGGCGGUUUGCCAAUGACACUUAAUUAAUCAAUUUUUACAAUUUAUGGCACCCAAGUGAAAAAAAAAAAAAGAAAGUUAUGGCACUCAAGUGAAUUUCGUACGCAAGUUAUGACACUCGUAAUAUACUUACCCUAGAUUCUAGCUAUGUAGACCUCACAUGCAGUUUUGAAGGCUUACAUUUGCAGCCAUUGGAUUACAACCAUUUGAAAACCGGUAACAAUGACACAAUAGCAAUCCAAUGGGUAUAAAUAUUAGGGGUAUGAUAGCCUAACCCCAUAAUUUAGAUCGUUUGCACUAAUACAGUUCUUUUUGCUUCUUGUCUUGUAAUUAUUUACCUGUUUUGGCGGUCUGGGUUAGGUUCCAUUUAAUGCAUGUAAUAAAUUUUCCGAAUAGUUCCCACGACCAAAAUAUAUAGGACAGCAGACCAUGGCUCUUCCUUCUUCUUCCUCUAAUUCCAUACCUGUGCAGCAAGAAGACCAAGGGAUUCAUCAACGUAGAAAUGAGUUCUUGCUUCACCAUCUCCCUCUCUCUCCUCUUCUUCUUCAUAAAUUUUGUAGGUCCUGAAUCAGCACCUACGUUUCUACGGCAUUACUGCCCAAAUGCCACACUCUUCACUCCCAACUCCAUCUACCAAUCCAACCUCAACACCCUCCUCUCUUCUCUCUCCUCUGCCGCCACCGACAGCGCUGACGGCUUUGCCAAUGCUGUCGUCGGCCAAAAUCCUCCCGACCAGGUCUACGGGCUCUUCCUCUGCCGCGGUGACGUCGACUCCGCCACGUGCAGCAACUGCGUGGCCACUGGAAAACAGGAUAUCCUCCAAAGAUCCCCCAACCGGCGAGUCUCCAUGAUCUGGUAUGAUGAGUGUAUGUUGAGGUACUUCGAUGGCUCCAUCCACUCAGUCAUGGAACAAAUGCCUUCUAUCACGAUGUACCACACCAGGAAAAUCACCAAUCCAACCCACUUCAUGCAAGUCCUGAGAGAGACCAUGGACGACAUCACUGCGAGGGCUUCAGUCGGCAAUUCGGGGAAGAAACUUGCCGUUGCGGAGGCAAGCUUUACGAGUUUGCAGAAGCUGUACACGCUCGCACAGUGCACACCGGACUUGACGGUGUUGGAGUGCAACACGUGCCUCCGGGCAACAAUCGCGGGUCUUCCACGGGGGAAGCAAGGUGGGAGGUUGUUCACUCCGAGCUGCAGCAUGAGGUUCGAGCUGUACCCAUUUUACAAUGCCUCGGCCAUGGCGGUGCUGGUGCCUCCCCCGUCCUUCCUUCGUUCUCCCCCUGCUCCCGUGACCAGACGUAAAGGUACAUGUUUGUUUUUGAUAUUUGUCCUCUGUUAAGACAGAAAGAUCUGUCCAAUUUUAUUUUAUUUUUCCAGCGAACUGCUUAUCCUACUUUAUAGUUCGAAUAUGUGGAAUGAACCUUUUAAUGAAAAGGGAAGAAAACAUCAUAAGUGCCAUAAUCCUUAUACAUGGUGCUAUAAAUGUUUAAUUGAUCACUUAAGUAUCAUAAAUUUGAAGGAAAUUUACUUAAGUGACAGCAACGAUUUCAUUAAUCAAAAUUCCAACAUAUCAAUAAUUUAAUAUAAAAUUAUCAGAUACAACUCACUAGGGAAAUGAUGUUAUCAAAAGCAUGCAGAAAUGAGUCAGUAGUCCUUUCGUACCCCAAAUUGAUGAAGUGGGGCUUAUUGAACUCAAAUCCUAACCCUAUCCCCAAGUUAGGUCCAACAGUGGCCAUGUGUGAUAGGGUAUGCAGUGGGCUCGUGUCGAUGUCUUUCUUCUCAAUUUCUUGAGCAAUCAGUUGCUUGUCAAUUUGGUGCAUAGAAAGGGUUAAAUGACAUCAUUUCUACACACUUUUGAUGAUAUUACUUAUCCAUAGAGGUGUCAAAAUGGGUCAUUGACCCAUUUAUAGUUAAAUGGGUCGUUAAUGGAUCAAACCUUAUUUCCCAAAGUAUCCAUGAUAGGUUUUAAAAAUAAAGAGAUUAAAACAUAUGGGUCUUAAAUGGGUCUACUCUCAGACCCAUUUAUGACCCAUUUAUCAACCCAUUUAAAAAGAACCCAUUUACAUGGAGACUCUCUCUUUUCUUUUUAACUUUAAAAAUAUUUUUUUUAUAAAAACCGAAAUUAUAAUUAUUUUUAAUUAUAAUUUUCUUUUCUUUUCUUUUCUUUUUUCUUCUUUUNNNNNNNNNNNNNNNNNNNNNNNNNNNNNNNNNNNNNNNNNNNNNNNNNNNNNNNNNNNNNNNNNNNNNNNNNNNNNNNNNNNNNNNNNNNNNNNNNNNNGGCUCAAGGCUCGCCAAUUUUGGCAAGCUCGAGGCUCGCCUGUGGUCGGCCAUUGACUGUCAUUGUGACCGGCGAUUUGGCAAAGAAGAAGAAGAGAGAACAGAGAAAAAAGAAAAAGAAAAUUAAAAAUUAUAUUUUAAAAAUAAUUAAAAAUUUAAUUUUAAAAAAUAAAAAAAUUAGAAUUCAAUUUUUUAAAAUAAUUAUUUUAAAAAUUAUAAAAAUCGUCCAUGAAAUUUGUGUUAUAUGAUUUUUUUAUUUUUUUAUAUAAAAAUAUUUUAGCAAUACCAUUUUUUUUAGUAUAUAUAUAAGAAAUAAGCUUUUUUAAGUUUAGUUGAAUGAGUCGGGUAUGGGUCGGAAAAUUUACAUUAGGCAUAAAUUGGUCAUAAAUGAGUUAAUGGGUCAAUUUGGGUCGGAUCAUUAAUGACCCGACCCACCCGUUUAACACCUCUACUUAUCCAGCAAGCCACUUCACAUAAUUUUAUAUCAAAUUAAUCCUAUGUCAAAUUUUUUGACAAAAGAAAUUACCGGAAUCACUUAAACGAAUAUCUUUUAAAAUAUUAUUACAUUCAAACGAUUGAUUGAAAAGUUAUGAUAUGUAUAAUAUCAUUUUCCCUCUUUCUAAUAAUACCUCUUGUUGAGAUGAGCCUAUGAUAAUCAAUAGGUCAUUUUCAAGUUAAACGAUUUUAGAGAGAGAGAGAGAGAGAGAGAGAGAGAGAGAGAGAGAGAGUUAAAGUUACUAAUUUGAAAAUAUAAUUCCACAAGAACCUUACUUUGAUUAAAAACGAAUGGGCAAAAUUUGUGAACUAUCAACCCCAUCCCAAAUCUAAGCAUCUUGAAUAUGGCAGAACCAAUUCAAGAGAAUAACAAAUUUGACAUGGUAACCCAUGGCCCUGAGUGCUACUGGCCUCAAAGGGAUAAUCUCUGAUAUCACAUCCGAAAUUCCAGUGCCCAUGGGAAGAAAGUUUUUUUUUUUUUUUUUUUUUGGAGCAAACCCAUGGGAAGAAAGUUACAUUACCACAAAUUGGAAGGAUUGCCAUUGAAGUGGCCCUUCAGAAUCAGCAGCAGUCCCACCUCUAGCGCCUUCGCUCCGAGGGUAUCCUUUGGUGGCACCCACAGGAUAAAGACUCACCACUAUUGGACCUAAUUUGGGUUUAGGGUUUAAGUUGAAUUUAGCCUUAAUUUUGUCAAUUUGGGUCAAGGAAUGGCUAAAUGAUACUGUUUAUGGACACUCUAGAAGACAUUAUUUCCCUAGUGUGCCACGUCAAAUGGUUUUAUAUUAAAUUGAAGUCAUGUUAGAUGUUUUGGCAAUACUCAUAUAAACUUGACAUUCUCAAGUGAUCGACUUAAAAUUUACGAUGCCAAGGUAAGUGUGAUACAAAAAUUAUAGUACCGAUCAUGUCAUCAUUACAAUUCCGUCUCUAUCCAUUUUGAUAUGCUUAUAAGAGGUGAAGUUUCCCGAGGCAUUUUUUCACAUAUACUUUGUUGAAUCAGUUCCAAAUAAUUCUAAUGACUCUGCACUUGUGUUCUUUGCUUGUCUUCUCCCUCCCUCAAGCACUUCAAAGCAGCACAAUUGACAGCAUAACUGCAUCAAGUCCACUGGUUCAGAACCAAACCCUUGUCUCUAGUAGUCAAAUCUUUGAGCUCGGGUUCUUCACGCCUAAAGGAUCAGCAAAGCAGUACGUAGGAAUAUGGUACAAGAAGAUGGCUCCCUCCAGAGUCGUCUGGGUGGCCAACAGGGACAAGCCACUCGGACAUACAGAUCAAUCUGCUAGUUUAAUAAUUGGGGAAGAUGGAAAUCUGAAGCUUCUUGAUGGGCGACAAAACACUGUGGUCUACUAAUGUCAUGGCAAAGUCGAAUUAUUCUGAAGCACUACUUUCGGACUUUGGAAACUUUGUUCUUCAAGACAGGAACGAGAAUAUAAUGUGGGAAAGCUUUGAUGAGCCAACCAACACUCUCUUGCCAAACAUGAAGAUUGGAGUAAACGUGAAAACAGGAAAGAAACUAAACUUGACUUCCUGGAAAGGCGAAGAUGAUCCCUCGUUCGGAAGCUUUGUCAUGGGAGUGACAUUGGAGAAACCACCUCAGCUUUUCACUUGGAAUGGAUCAAGUCCUUACUGGAGAAGUGGACAGUGGGAAAAAACGAAGUUCAUCGGAAUACCGACGAUGACCAACACAUACUACGAUAUCCGGCAAGAUAACAUCCGGGGAACCUCAUAUUUUUACCUCAAUAAUUACAACAACUCCAUCUUUGGAUAUACUUUCAUCUCUUCUGAAGGAUCUGUAAAGUCGGCUUUUUGGGCCAAUGGGUGGUUAACAUCCUGGAAGGCACCGGCACCAACUAACCCUUGUGAAAUUUAUGGAAUAUGUGGCCCCUUCGGAGUUUGCAACUCGUUUAGUUCACCUAUGUGCAGAUGCUUAAAAGGUUUUAAACCAAGAUCAAAUGAAAAAUGGAACAGAGGAAACUGGACCAGAGGGUGCCUUAGGGAAAUGGAAUUGAAUUGUCAGAAAUCUGCAAGCGCAGCAGCUUCAACAACUGUGGAAAAAGAUAUGUUCUGGCAAAUGAGACAAAUAAAAUUGCCUGAUUCCGCUGAUUAUUUGUUGAUAGAUAAUGUGGAAGGAUGUCAAAGUUGGUGCCUAGAAAAUUGCUCGUGCUUGGGCUUUUCUUAUGUGAAUGCUAUAGGAUGUAUGGCUUGGAGUAAAGACCUCCUAGAUACUCAGCAAUUCUCCACAGAUGGCGAAGAUCUAUUUAUUCGACUAGCGGAUGCGAGUGUGGGUGCAGAUACAGGUUGAAAUGGUUGACUUAAUAUGCCUUUGGUUUUGCACUUCUAUGCUUCUUAUAAUAUAUUUUCUAUGGUUCAGGUGUACCUAUGCGGACAAAACUUAUCAUCAGCCUAAGUACUAUUUCUGGCAUCAUCUUAUUUGGAGCUGGCAUUUCAGUCUGUGGUCUUUCAAAAUGGAGAGGUAAUAAAAGAUGUACGGUUUGCUGCUUUCUUAAGGGUGAUUUUGCGCUAACCGCAAUAUAAGAAUUUUGAAUUAUUGGUGAAACCACGGCUUCAGAAGCUAAGCAGUUAGUAGUAUAGAGACACUACUCUGCUACUGAUGUUCUCAUGCUCAUCUUGAGUUGUUUUCGUUCUAUCUGUAAAAUGCAGGGAAGUUUAGGAAAAUGACAAUCCCAAGGCUCCUUAGGUCAGAAGAACCACUAAGGGAAACUUCUUGGAAAGAGCAAAUGAAGGAAGAUGAUGCAUCGCAAUUGGUCGUUUAUGAUUUUGAUAGCAUACGCCUCGCGACAGACAACUUCAACUUGAAAAACAAACUUGGGCAGGGAGGGCUUGGCCCGGUUUAUAAGGUAAAAGAAAAGCCUUCUCUGAGGGAAAUAAGGAGAUUAUCCAAGAUCUGAUAGCGCUGUUCAUUUUGAAACAGGGAAAACUGAACAAUGGUAAGGAGAUAGCAGCAAAGAGACUUUCGAGCAGCUCAAGCCAAGGCAUAGCAGAGUUCAAGAAUGAGAUCCUUCUAAUAUCCAAACUUCAACAUCAAAAUCUAGUGAGACUCCUCGGUUGCUGUAUUGAAGGAGAAGAAAAGAUUCUAGUGUAUGAGUACUUGCCCAACAAGAGCUUGGACACCUUCCUUUUUGGUUAGUCUCACUCUUUGAAGAACUUAUUCCUGCUUUCAACAAAAUCCGGUAUUGAAACUAGAUACUUCUUCUGUUUGCUACCUUGUUCAGAUUCAAGAGAGAAGGCAAAACUUAGCUGGAGUGUACGCUUCCGCAUUAUCCAGGGGGUCGCAAGAGGGCUGCUUUACCUCCACUGCGAUUCUUGCCUUAGAGUCAUACAUCGGGAUUUGAAAGUAAGCAACAUUCUUUUGGAUGAAAAGAUGAAUCCCAAGAUUUCAGAUUUUGGGCUGUCACGGAUGUUUGAAGGCACUCAAGUUUUGGUAAAUACUCACAAAGUUGUGGGGACACUGUAAGCUUUCUAUCAUCACUCUUAGGAGUACUUACUCAUGAGGCAAUAUAUCACCUUAGAAAGCAGAUUAGCAGCAUAAUGCUCUCACCUUUUUCUUCAUACAUGUUUUGCUAUUAACGAGAAAACUCUUCCAUGUACAUUCGAUGGUUGCAAUAUGUCAGUUCGCUCCGAGGUAAUUAUAGACUAGCGCCGCAAUGCAAAUGCUAAAAUAUAUGAGAAAUACAUUACUCAUGAAGUUGGGUGUUCAUCACCCUCCAAUUUUCUCAUCUCUCAUGUCAUCGUCCUUUAGUCUGUGAUUUUUUGGUUUGAACUAUACUUCAGGAACCCUCUACUAAUAUAAUUUUGUCUAAAGUGGCUACAUGUCUCCAGAGUAUGCCAUGGGUGGGAUAUUUUCUGAGAAAUCUGAUGUUUAUAGCUUUGGAGUACUGCUAUUGGAGAUUAUCAGCGGCAAGAAGAACACAAGUUUAGAUUACCCAGGGCAGCAUCUCAAUCUCCUUGCUUUUGUAAGUGCAAGAUCUAACCUCAAACUAGUAUACCUCCAUUUCAGUUUCCAACCAUCGGUAGCCCUUGAAACACUCUAACAAUCGACUAGUGGUCAUAGGCUUGGCACUUGUGGUGUGAAGGCAGAGGAUUGGACCUAAUAGAUGAAGCCAUUGCUAAUGCAUUUUCGGUGUCAGAAGUAAUGAGAUGCAUUCAGUUAGGGCUUCUCUGUACGCAAGACCAUGCCACAGAUAGACCCAACAUGUUGGCCGUGGUUCUAAUGCUGAAUGGGGAGUCCAAUCUUUCACAGCCAAAGCAACCGACAUAUACAUUUUCAAGCUCGCUGGCCCACGAAGUCCCAUCACAAGAAGAAAGCAUCCGGUCCAUGAAUACCAUCACCA